AGUCAAGAACUUCAAUAUUCUUCCAUAGAAAGUGCUCAACUUCUGUCAAAGAGUUGUGAGAUACGUUUAAGUAAGUCAAAGAGCCAUUCCCCACCUCUUGCAUCCACUGUGGAAUCUUGCCUUCAAUUUUGUUGCAAGAGAGGUCUAAGCUUUCCAAACUUUUAAGCCCUUUUAAAAAUUGGGGGAAUUCACUAAGAUUGCAAGAUGACAAAAGUAAGUCUGUAACAUUAGGCAAUAUAUGAUUAACACUAGAUGUAGUAUUAGAUGUUAAGGAUAGGCUGUUAUAUGAAAGGUCGAGAUGUUUUAGAUUUGGAAGGUUUGAGAACAUGCGAAACUCUAUGACACCACUAAGAUUAUUUGAGGAUAAAAGGAGCCAGGUAAGAUUGAGAAGUUGGAAUAUUGAAGAUGGAAGGGGACCUUGGAGUUUAUUAUUUUCUAGAUCUAAAUAUUCUAGUGAUUUGGUUUGGAAUUCUUUGAUAUGCCCACUGAAUUGAUUUUGAGAGAGAAUUAUACCCUUUAAGGAGGGAGCAGUAUACAACCAUGACGGAAGUGUUCCAUUGAGUAAAUUGUCAUAUAAGACUAAAUAUAUUAGAUUCGGAACAGCGGUUACCUCAUCUGGAAUAGAACCUUCUAAAGAAUUUUCAGAUAUUUCCAAGUAUUCCAACUGCGUUAGGUUUAGAAUUGACAAUGGAAUUUGUCCACUCAAUUUAUUUGAUCCCAAGUCUAAAUGAGUGAGUUGCAAGAGGUUUCCAAGUGAUCUUGGAACCGGUCCUGAUAAGUUGGAAUAGGAGAGAUCUAAAAACUUCAAGGACACAAGAUUCCCCAUCGAGUCAGGCAAUCCUCCAAAAAAAUUUGCGCCUCUAAGAAUCAAGUACUCCAAAGAUGAUAAAUUUGUGAUUGAGACAGACAAUCCUUGAAAGAAAGAAAUUCCUGAUAGAUCUAAGUACUUUAAGGCCCGUAGAUUAUCAACCGAAUCAAUGAAUUCUGUAGAGAAGGACAUCCUCGACAGAUCCAAAUGUUCGAGAUUGCUGCUCCGGUUCAACUUCAAAGGAUCAAGAUUGAGGUUUUGGUUGCCUCCCAAGUUGAGGAGAUUGAGGUUUGGCAAAUCAAAAAUGUUUUUUGGGAAUUUUCCUUGCAAAUCACAACCAGCAAGACUGAGAGACCUUAGAGAAGAGGAUAGAUUCAUGAAGACAUGAGCAUUAACAUAAGACAUGUCCAUUCCACCCAAAAAUAGAUGUCUGACAUCGGUUAGGUUGUGAACAAGUCCCUCCAGAGCAUGUUUGUCAAUUGUUUGUUCACCAAACACAGAGGAGGAGAGAUCAAGUGAAACCAAUUUUGACAGGUGGGAGACUUGGGAUGGGACUUCUCCUGCAAACCCUGUAUAAGAAAGGUUGAGGUAGAAUAGGCUAGUAAACCGACCGAACUCGGAUGGAAUUUUGGAAAGAUUAAAAUCAUUGUAGGCAAGGUUGAGUUUUUGAAGGUGAGGAAGAAGGAAGAGAGUGGUAUUGGAAGGGAAGUUGCCAUAUAGCCAACUGCAGCUCAAGUCAAGGGCAAUAACAUGAGCAUUUAGGUGGUCACAAGUGACCCCAUCCCAUGAGCAGCAAUCUGUACCCUCCUUCCAUGAAUUUGUCUUGGGAUAAGAUUUAAGGCCAGCAUAAUCAUUGCAAUAAGAAGAAACAUCCUCUGUUACGGAAAAAGAGUCCUUAAACUGGAUUAGGGAAGAGCAGGAGUGAGAUCCUGAAGAAGAAAAAGAAGCAUAAAGAUGGGGAAAGAAGAGGAAUAGGCAGAGAAAGAGAUAGGGGGCCAUGUUAUGUUUGUAGAGAAAGAAGAAGGAUAGGAAUGGUAUUUGUAGGCAACAAAUAGUACCACAACAUUGGUGUUACAGUAUUUUUUUUUUCUUUUACAUUGAAAAGCUAUGGAUAUUAGAUUUUCAAAAAUUUUGUAUUUUUCACCAUCAUCAACAACCACUUAGUCUUCUUUUUACCAUAUAUUUUUCAUUCUAUUUUUUUAACAAAAUCUUGUAUUUCAUUUCAGCUUUCAAAACAACUAAAAAAUUUAAAAUUGAUGAAAUUACAAAGUAGAUUGACUUAGUCUUCUUUCCUAUAACAUUUAAAAGAAUAUCUUGUCAACCAAAGUUAAUUAAUGUGAAAAUUCUUUUUCACACAAAAGAACAAAAUUGUGCUCUAUUCACUAAGUUAGAGGAAAAAGACUGCUAGAUUUUUUAAUUAUUUUUUCUUUGAAAAAUUUGAAAGUUUUUUACUGCCUUUAAGCCAAUAAAAAAAACAUGUAUUAAUUUUGUUUUUAAAAAUAGUGUGUUUGAUUGUGAAAUGAUUCAUCAUCCUCCACCACAAACUAUCCAUAUUUGCAGUGUGAAAGCAGCUACUUUCAUAAAGAAAUUACUUAGGAGAUGGGAUCCACCAAUUUUACCUAAACUCGCAUCAACAUUGUUUAGCAAUUUCAAAAUAGACUAAUUAGUCUGGUUCAAAUACCAAGACUACAAUAUCUAUUCACUUCACUUGGUCUUGCUUCCUAUCGCUGUCAGCCAAACUUGAUCGACUAGCAGUAAGGAAAUUUCAGUCAUUUGCAGCAUAAUGUACAAGAAUUCCACUCCCGCAAAAUAAUUUACAAUAUGGACUAACACACUAAAAAUGAUUUUUAAAAAAUGAUUUUUAGAAAGUAAUUUUUGAAAAAUGGUUAGAAGAUAAUUUUUGUUUCUGAAAUAGUUAAUUUUUUUUGGUGUUUAGAUAAAUUUUGUUAUGUUUUCAUUGUUUACUUGAGUUUAUUUCAUAAAGCUUAUGUAUAUAUUUUAAUUAAUCAUGUUUUAGUUUUAAUUAAUCUUAAUUUACUUAAUUAAGCUUAAUUGUUAACUUCGUACAUUAGAAUAUAAAUUUAUGUUUAAUUAAGUUGAAAGUGAUAAAUAUUUAUUUUGAAUAUUAUUUGGAUAAGUUGAAAAAUGAUUUAAUUUGAUAAAAUUGAAGUCAGGGUCAUAGAACUAUGCUUUUUACUGACAAAAUCUUAGAUGCAGUGAUUAUUGAGACUAAAAAAUGAAAGUCAUGAAAGAAGACAUAAAUAGUUGAACCAUACAAAAUGUUACAUUUUGUAAUGCAAUGAAAUAUAGAUGAAUUGUUACAAAUAUAAAGACAGAUGCAUUGCAAUGCAACCUUUCUCCAUAGGAAAAAAAAUUUGACAGACUUCAAAACAAGAAAUUAUGAAGAUACAACAUACACACUUGAACAUCAUUUCCACUAACUAGAUCCUUCUUCGUCCAUUGCUGCGACUGCCAUCCUUUGACUUUCUUCUUCGCUACUUCUCAUGUUGGAUUCAACCAAAUUCACCAACCAUUUUGGCUUACUAAUUUGGAAAACAACAUAUCCCACGACCAUUCCAAACACUACUCCGCAUCCAUAACCUAUCAACACCAAUUUCCAACCAAAAGAGAUGUUUGAUUUUGAACCAUCUUUUCCAAGCACAUUUGGAGGUGGUGGCUCAAUGAUGUUGCAACCUUUUGAGACCGGAAAUCCACAUAAUCCCUUGUUUCCUUCAUAUGAAUCAUUUCCAUAUGUGUUGAACUGUUUGCCUUGAGGAAUCUGACCAUGGAGUUGAUUUUCAGAAACAUUGAAGGACGAAAGAAAUGCCAGAUCUGCAAAUCUAUUUCGAAUUGUCCCUGACAACCUGUUUGAAUAUAGGUCCAACCAUUCAAGACUCGUCAAAUUCCCUAUUGAAGUGGGGAUACCACCGUUAUAAACACUGUCAUAUGGCAUGAAUAACAUACUCAUAUAUUUACUGUCACAUGGCAUGAAAAACACACCCUCAUAUUCACUUUCACAUUAGUCAUCAUAAGCUUAUAACAUAUGUCAUAGCAAUCUCAUAUAUAUUCAUAAUUUCACAAUUUCACAAGCGUACAUAUAUCACAUUUAAUCAUAUGCGCGAGAAAACUUACUCUCACUUACUCUUGGAAUUUAGAGUAGGAAUUUAGGCUACCACUAAAUUCUCAUCAAUUAAACAAUGAAUCAUCUACGAGCAACAAUUUCAAACCACAAUGAAUCGAGAGCUCAAACUAGCUCUUCCUCUAACUCGUAGAAGGCUUUAAUGAAUCCGAGGCUUCACACAUGACAAUCACACAAUACUCACAGUCAAAUGACAGCCAAGGACCCACUUAAACUAACCAAAAUAAAAGCCUAAGCUACCUUCUAAUGUAACCAAACCCUUUAGCAUGACGAACUUAAAAUGCAAAUAUAUCAAUCUACACUUAAACAUUUUCACAUGAAACAAGUUUCAGUCAUCCCCCAUAUUCAUUUAUAGCUAAACUCCAAUCUUUAAACCACACAAAACUACAAGUUUCAAGGUAUAACAUUUUUCCACAAAUUUUGACCAUAAUAAUGAAAAUUCAUUAAAACACGGGAAAUCUAUAAUGAAACUUAGAAGUAAUUUUAAAAAACUUCUAAUUAAGUUAAAACAAGUUGAAAAACACUUUUAAAUCACUUUUUCAUCCACAAUCUCGAAUUCCACCAUUAAUGACCCAAUUUUUAGGUUUAAAUUAAAACAUGCAAUUUCAUAACUAAAAUCUCAAUUUUAAAGUCUAGAUAACAUUAAAAACUAAUGAGAAAGUAAAUGGUUACCUUUGAUGAAAGAUUAAACGAGUUUUGAAGUAAAUUUGAAAAACCCACAAUUGAAGAAGAAGAUGAAAUCUAUGGCGUUUUUGAGUGUUUUUCUUGGAAUUAUAAGAAAUCAAAGUACUAUUGUUUGGGAAUAAAAAUUAAUUGAAAGAUCAAGGGAAUAGCAAAGGACGGCAAUAGCAAACUUUGGAGAGUAACUAUUGUGAAAUAGAACAGGGAAUGGGGUUUAUUAGGUUCAAUUUAAAACAUUGGUAAAACUUCAAUCUAAGUGCUCACUAUUUUAACUUUGUUACAAAUUAGUUCUUUUUCUAAAUUUUAGGUAUUUAAAACUCAUUUUCAGAAAUCGGCUCAAUUCCCUAAUAGCCAUUGUCGAAAACAUUAUUGAAUACUAACCUUACGAAAUUUUGAUUACAUAUAGGCUAAAAUUCCUAAAAAAAAAUUGAAACUCUUAGAUCCUAUUUUGGGGUGUUCACGUAUGGUCAUGAUUCAUGUUGAAUUAAUACAUCAUUCACCGUAAUAAGGCUUAUCGUUGUAAUAAUUAGUUAAAUCACCUAAUAUCUAAAAAAUUAUUAUUAUUUUCAUAAAAUCAUUGAUCAAAUUAUUGUUUUCAAAUUUCAUACAUAAAAUUAACAAAUAAAGAUAGCUCUAAAUAGCAAAACCCAAUAUGUGUAACAAGUAUUUUUAUUAAUCCAUUUGGAAUGUUAAGGUUUGCUGGAGCAAAUAAAUUGAUUAAUGCUUUGAACUUUCCAAACACUUUUUAUAGUUUUGUUAUAUGCAUUUUGUAUAAUUAGUAUAUUUGAAUAUAUUAGAUACAUCGUCUAAAACAAUGCCAAUUGUAAUUUUUUUAUAUUUUGUUGAUCAUAAGCGUAUUAUAUAAAUAAUUUAAAAAAAAAAAGAUGGAGUGAUACAUUUAUGUAGUGCUUAUGAAUAUAAUGUUGGAUUAAAAUCCUUAAUUAUGAGUACAUAUGUAUAUGCUUGAUAUUACAAUUAUCUUAAUAAUUUUGUUUCUGUUCUUGUUGAUUGAUGAUUAUAGAAAUCAUUAUUCUUCUGAAGGCAUACUUUGUUGUCAAUGACAGUACCUGCACCCUAAAAAAGUCACCAGCUUUAACGACUACAAAAGUUGUCCUGCCUGAUAUUUAUUAAAAAAUCACCAGGAAGCACAUUGUCAGGACAUCCUUGCUGGAAAAAAACUUGGUAGGAUGGUUUUUCUGUGCAAACUUAGUAAUUAAUUUAUGUUGUUUUUACCAAACUUUGUAGCGUUUCACUUUUGGUAAAAUUUCAUCCUUGGUCCCUUUAAACUCCUUUUUGCUUUAAUUUGAUUGCUUUCUAGCGUUGCAAAUUACAUAACACUCUUCAAAUGUCUUAUUAAAUUCUCACUUUUACGAGUGCUAUGUUAAUCAAUUUUAAGUUCCAUAUAACACUUACAUGGCUACAAAAUGUGUGUGUGUGUAAGUGUCCUCAACCACAAACAAUCCAAAUUUGCUGAGAAACCACCCAUUAUAUAUAGGUUUGCCAAUGAGAUGGCAAGCAGACUGCUAGCUAGAAAUUCAUGCAUCUUUGAAUCACCAAUUCAAUUAAUAAGCUUAACUAGAGGAAAUAAGGACUUUACACCACCAAUUAAAGCAACCUAUAUGUACCCUUUUACAGUCUGCAUUGUUCCAUGUUUCCAUUCAUUACAUCAUUCCUUCAACUCUGCUAUAUAUUAUUACCGUCUCCAGAAAACCAAACCUUUUACUGCUAACUUGUAAAAAAAUUAUGAAAAUACAACAGAGAUCAUUGAGACAUUGUUGAAGUUGGCUUGCAUGCAGACCAAGAAGCACACCAAGCUGUCCGAGAUAUGCAAGUUGCAGCUGAAGCUUAUGCUGCUGUUUUGUUACUUUCAAAUAGAUAUUUUAUUAUUUACUUAGAUAUGAACUAAGUUGCUGAUAUGCUUGAUGUAAUUAGGAGCUGAUAGAUUGAUAAAUCAGCUUUACCAAGUGUACAAGCAAUGUUUAUCAAGUUACUAAGCCACUUAGUGGAGUUAGGUAUGUGUUUAGGUAACAUUUUCUUAUUUUUGACCAGCUGAUUGCUUGCUAUAUGUAAUGGCAUUGUGCCUUCAUUCAAAUGUAAAGAAAUCUUUCAGAAAAUUCUUCUUCAUUUGGUCUUUACCUAAGCAUUUUUUUUCACGAAGCUCUUGCUGUUUUUGUUUUGUUUGUUGAGCAAGAUAACAAUGCUUUAUGCUUAAGUUUCUGUCAAAAUUUCUCAUUCUGUUUUCUUAGUUCCUACAGACAUUUUGUUCUCCUUUCUCCUUUACUGAGCAGUAGCAAAGAUUAUCGAGACUAAAUUGAAAUCCAUGAAAGAAGACAUAAACAACACCACCAUACAAAAUGUCACACUCAAACAAACCAUUACAGAUACGAAAUGCAAUGAAAGACAGAGGAAUUGGUACAAUAAUAAAGACAGCCAGAUACCAAUGCAACCCUUCACCAUAGGCAAAACGGUCUACAAACAAGAAAUUAUGAAAAAUACAACACUAAUUCUUGAACAUCAUUUGCAGUAAUUAAAUCCUUCUUCGUCUACUGCUGUGAUUGCCUUUCUUUGACUUUCUUCUUCGCCUCUUCUCAUGUUGGUUUUCAACCAAAUUCACCAACCAUUUUGGCUUACCAGUUUGGAAAACAACAUAUCCCACGGACAUUCCGAACACUACUCCGCAUCCAUAACCUAUCAACACCACUUUCCAACCAAAAGCAAUGUUUGAUUUUGAGCCAUCUUUUUCAAGCACAUUUGGAGGUGCUGGAUCAAUGAUGUUGCAACCUUUCGAGACCGGAAACCCACACAGUCCCUUAUUUCCUUCAUAUGAAUCAUUUCCAAAUGUGUUGAAUUGUUUGCCUUGAGGAAUCUGACCAUGGAGUUGAUUUUCAGAAACAUUGAAGGACGAAAGAAAUGGCAGAUCUGCCAAUCUAUUUGGAAUCGUCCCAGACAACCUGUUUGAAGAUAGGUCCAACCAUUCAAGACUUGUCAAAUUCCCUAUUGAGGUGGGGAUAUCACCAAUAAGGUUAUUAUGAGAAAGGUUGAGCCCUUUCAGUAAGUUAAGCUUCCCAAUAACCUUUGGAAUACCCCUUUCAAACUGAUUGUUUGAUAGAUCAAUGAUCAUCCACAUGGUGAAAAUUUUCACCAAUUCCCUAUCUUGUCCUUUCAUAACAAUUCCAAUGGAAUAGGUAUAGAAGCCAACUCCAUAAUCAUGCACCCCCAUGUAUGACACUGUACUACCAAUCUUCUCUAGAUUUAUGAUAGCCUUGAAGCUGUUGAUGUAUCUCACUGGUAGGGGUCCAGAAAAAUAAUUACUUGAGAGAUCAAAAAUUUGGAUUUUAGAGAAAAAAGGGAUAGACUUGGAGCUAUUGACACAUAAGGAACCAUGCAGUUGAUUUGACUUCAAUACAAGAACUUGUAGCUGUGGAAGACUUCCCAACCAGUGAGGAAAUGUAUCAUUGAUCUUGUUGUUACCAAGAUCUAGCACUUCCAGACCUCUACAAUUAAGGAUGGAUGGUGUCAAAGGCCCUUCUAACAGAUUUCCAUUUAAGUUGAAAUUACUCAAUCGGCAUCCCUUUGCAAAUGCUGGAGGAAUCGUCCCAUAAUACUUGUUCUUCUUCAGAUUCAAGAAUAGAAGGCUGUUGCUCAAAUUUCCAAAACAUUGUGGAAUUGUUCCACUCAAGUUAUUGUGGGACAAAUCAAGAAUUUCAAGAAAAGCGGCAUUGCAUAUUAAAGAAGAGACCUCUCCAUUGAAACUAUUAUUUGAGAUCAAAAAGACUCUUAUGGUCGAAGCUGGAAUCGGAAGAUUUCCACUGAUCAAAUUGGAGCUUAAGUCAAGAACAUCAAUAUUCUUCCAUGGAAAGUGCUCAACUUCUGUCAAAGUGUUGUGAGAUACAUUUAAGUGAGUCAAAGAGCCAUUCCCCACCUCUCGCAUCCACUGUGGAAUCUUGCCUUCAAUUUUGUUGCAAGAGAGGUGUUGAAGUAAUGGUCAGCAUGCAGCAACCAAGACUGUCAAAGGCACUACAUGCAGAAGCUGCUGGUUCACCUAGUCAGCAAGCUGUUUAUGUUUCAUUUUGUAAUUUUAAGUUAGAGUAAUGUAACUUAGUUGCUUUAUAACUAUGUUAGGUUUAUGUUUGAUGUAAUUUUGAUGUUGACUGAGCUGAUAAAUCAGCUUUGUUUGUUUAUUCAAGCUAAUUAGCACAAGUUACUAUGUGUAUUAGUGGUAGUAGGUGAAGUUUAGGUCAACCUACUGUUUUGUCAAGAUUGUAAACUUGUUUUAUGUAUUGGCUUUGUGCCAUAUUUAGUUUGAUGAAUGAAUUCAAGAAGUUAUCAUCCAUAUGCUCUCCAUUUUUAGUUUUGCUUAAAAAUCCAUUUGAGUUUUCUGCUUUGUUUCUCCUACAAGUCACGAGACUUGCCAUACAAGCAUUCUGCUGAAGCUUGCUGCUGCUGCCUCUUGCACCAACAAUUGGUAUCUAGAGCCACAUUCUUAGAGGACCUGUUGUAGUUCAGUAUCAAAACGAUGGCAUCAUCAGGUUUUUCACCAGCUUCACCACCUGUCUUCAAUGGAGAGGGCUUCAACAUUUGGGCAGUUAAGAUGAGGACUUACCUGCAGGCAUUCGACCUAUGGGAAGUUGUUAACUCAGAUGCUGAGCCAGCACCUCUUCGAGCUAAUCCAACAGUUGCUCAAAUAAGGCAACACACUGAUGAAAGGACAAAAAGGCACAAGGCCAUGUCAUGCAUACAGAAUUGUGUGACAGAUGUGAUCUUUAUGAGGAUCAUGGCCUGUGAGACACCAAAGGAGGCUUGGGACAAGCUGAAAGAAGAAUUUCAGGGGACUGAGAAAACAAGGCAACAACAGCUGCUCAAUUUGAGAAGAGAUUUCGAAAAUCUCAAAAUGAAAGAGGAAGAAACAGUUAAGCAGUACUCAGACCGGAUUAUGGCUGUUGUAAACAGCAUAAGGCUCCUAGGAGAGCAAUUCAGUGAAGCUAGAAUGGUUGAGAAAGUCAUGUCCACUCUACCAGAGAGGUAUGAAGCUAAAAUUUCAUCCCUCGAAGACUCAAGGGACUUGACAACUAUCUCCUUAACUGAGCUAAUCAAUGCCUUGUAUGCAUAAGAGCAAAGAAGAGCUAGCAGACAAGAGGAGCACCAGGAAGGGGCUUUUCAAGCCAAAGAAGCCUCGAGCAUCAAAACUCAUAAAGGCAAAAAGUUCUGGAAAAACAAGCCUAAGCCUGAUGCUGCUAGGAGCAGUGACCAACUCUGCAGACAUUGUAAAAGAGCUGGUCAUCCAGAAGAUAGAUGCUGGUUUAGACCAGAUGCAGUAUGCCAAAACUGCAAGAAAAAAGGCCAUGUUGAAAAAGUUUGCAAGAAUAGAAGCAAACCAAGACAGAAUCAAUUUCAGCAACAAAAGGUGGAAGCUCGAGUAGCUGAAGAAAGUAGUGAUCAAGAAGAACAUGUUUUUGCUGUGUCAUGUGCAGCAAAUCAGAAGAAGGGUUCAAAGGGCUGGCUUCUAGACAGUGGGUGCACAAACCACAUGUCACCAGAUGCAACUAUCUUCAAAACCCUGGACAGAACCUGCAAAACCAAAGUAAAAAUUGGAAAUGGUCAGUUAAUCAAUGCUGAAGGAAGAGGAGAUGUGCUGAUUCAUACUUCUACAGGUGGCAAAAUCAUUUCAAAUGUACUUUUGGUACCUGAAAUCGAUAGGAACCUUCUCAGUAUAACUCAACUACUUGAGAAAGGUUACUCAGUUGUUUUCAAGGAGAAAGAAUGUCAAAUUUUUGAUCCAAGUGGAUCAAAUCUUAUAACAGUCACCAUGACUGAUAAAUGUUUUGAAGUAGACUGGCCAAAUGACUCACAUUCAGCCUGCAUAGCCUCCACUAAUGACUCGAGACUCUGGCAUCAGAGGCUUGGACAUGCAAACUACAAAUCCAUAGCCCGCAUGGUCAAUGAAGGUCUGGCAGAAAAUUUCAUUGAUUCAGUGAAGAAUGAUGAGCUUUGUGAGAUAUGUCAGCAAGGAAAAUUGGCAAGAUUGCCAUUUCCAACAAGCACAACAUGGAGAGCAUCAGAGAAGCUCCAGCUUGUGCAUACAGAUGUGUGUGGACCAAUGAAGACUGAGUCUCUCAAAGGAAGCAGGUACUUUAUUUUAUUUAUUGAUGACUUAACAAGAUACUGCUGGAUUUAUUUUCUAAAACAGAAAUCAGAAGUACCAUCUAUGUUCCUGAAGUAUAAGGCUGCUGUUGAAACUGAGUCUGGUUGCAAACUUAGAGCAAUGAGGUCAGAUAAUGGAACUGAGUACACCUCAGCUCAGUUCCAAGUCUACUGUGAAGAAGCAGGUAUCAAACACCAGUUGACUAAUGUGUAUACACCCCAACAGAAUGGGGUCAGUGAAAGGAAAAACAGAAGCUUGAUGAACAUGGCAAGAUGUCUUCUGUUUGAGAAGAAUUUGCCCAAAAGUCUGUGGGCUGAAGCUGUUAACACAGCAGUUUAUCUCUAAAAUAGGCUCCCAACCAAGGCUCUGGCUGAGAAGACUCCAUUUGAAGCCUGGUUUGGGUUUAAGCCAUCACUGGCUCAUCUCAGAACCUUUGGUUGUCUGUGCUAUACUCAAGUUCCAGCUGAGAAGAGAAGCAAGCUAGACAAAAGAGCUCAAGCAGGGAUCCUGAUCGGCUACAGCUUGGUUAAGAAGGGCUACAGAAUUCUAGAACCUGCUACAAACAAGAUAUUGGUUAGCAGGGAUGUUGUUUUCAAUGAAAAAGGACACUGGAAUUGGGAGAAGGCUGAACCAGAGGCAGUGGCUGAAGAUCUGGCAGUGGACCAAGUUGAAAAUGGUGAAAACACACCUGAAAUGGAUGUAGAUGAUGUUCCAAUCAGAGGCACUCGAUCACUGGCUGAUGUUUAUGAAAGAGCACAAGUGGCUACUGUUGAACCAAAUUGCUUUGAAGAAGCAGAAAACCAGGAGGACUGGAAGCAAGCAAUGAUUGAAGAAAUCAGAAUGAUUGAAAAGAAUCAGACCUGGAGUCUGGUUGAUAAACCAACAAACAGGAAGAUUAUUGGUGUCAAAUGGGUUUAUCGAGUAAAGAACAAUGCUGAUGGUAGCCUAAACAAGUUAAAGGCUAGAUUGGUUGUGAAAGGCUUCAGUCAAAGGUAUGGAUCAGACUACCUGGAAACCUUUGCACCAGUGGCCAGGUUAGACACUAUUAGACUGCUAGUUGCCUUAGCAGCACAAAAACAGUGGCUGAUACACCAACUUGAUGUAAAAUCAGCAUUUCUGAAUGGAUUCCUUGAAGAGGAGAUUUAUGUGGAGCAACCUCAAGGUUUCAAGGUGUCUGGCAAAGAAGAUAUGGUGUACAAGCUCAACAAAGCCUUGUAUGGCUUGAAACAGGCUCCAAGGGCCUGGUAUAGCAGAAUAGAUGGCUAUCUGACCAGUCAAGGAUUUGAAAGAAGUCUUAGCGAGCCAACUCUGUAUGUUAAAUCAACUAGUGCUGAAACUCAGCUCAUUGUCUCAAUAUAUGUCGAUGACCUACUGGUGACAGGAGGAGAUCAUGAGAUGCUAAGCAGUUUUAAAGUCAAAAUGCAACAGCACUUUGAAAUGUCAGACUUGGGAUUGAUGUCUUACUUCUUAGGCAUGGAAGUAACUCAAGCUAAGAAUGGGAUUUGGCUAAGUCAAAAGACCUUUGCUAUGAAGGUUCUCAACAAAUUCUCAAUGGAGAAUUGCAAAGCAACCAGCACACCAGUUGCUGUUGGAGAAAAACUCUCGAGCCAAGACAAGCAUGAAAAGGUUUGUGAAACAACCUAUCGAAGUCUAGUUAGAUGUUUGUUGUAUUUGACUGCUACUAGACCUGACAUAAUGUAUGCUGUGAGUCUACUCUCGAGGUUUAUGCAUUCUUCAAAUGAAAGUCAUUUUAGAGCUGCAAAAAGGGUUCUAAGAUACAUCAAAGGAACUUUGUCCUAUGGAAUGCAGUUUACCAAGGCUGAGAACUUGAGGCUAGUUGGAUAUUGUGACAGUGAUUGGGCUGGUUCUUUGGAUGACAUGAAGAGCACUACAGGUUAUGCAUUCAACAUAGGCUCUGCUAUGAUAUGCUGGAGCUCAAAGAAGCAAGGAGUAGUGGCUCAGUCGACUGCAGAAGCAGAAUAUGUGGCUGCUGCUGCAGCAGUCAAUCAAGCCAUAUGGCUUAGAAAAAUUUUGAAAGAUAUCAAUCAUGAGCAAAAGGAAGCAACUGAGAUAAUGUCUGACAACCAAUCAGCAGUUGCUAUUGCAAAGAAUCCUGUUUUUCAUGGAAGGACCAAGCACUUCAACAUCAAACUUCAUGCAGUUCGGGAAAUGGAACAAGCUCAUGUUGUUAAGCUGAUACAUUGCAGUUCUGAAGAGCAAAUUACUGAUAUUUUAACAAAAGCACUAAGUGUUUCCAAGUUUCAACACCUGAGAGCUAAUAUGGGAGUUUGCAACAUGCUAACCAAGGAGGAGUGUUGAAGUAAUGGUCAGCAUGCAGCAACCAAGACUGUCAAAGGCACUACAUGCAGAAGCUGCUGGUUCACCUAGUCAGCAAGCUGUUUAUGUUUCAUUUUGUAAUUUUAAGUUAGAGUAAUGUAACUUAGUUGCUUUAUAACUAUGUUAGGUUUAUGUUUGAUGUAAUUUUGAUGUUGACUGAGCUGAUAAAUCAGCUUUGUUUGUUUAUUCAAGCUAAUUAGCACAAGUUACUAUGUGUAUUAGUGGUAGUAGGUGAAGUUUAGGUCAACCUACUGUUUUGUCAAGAUUGUAAACUUGUUUUAUGUAUUGGCUUUGUGCCAUAUUUAGUUUGAUGAAUGAAUUCAAGAAGUUAUCAUCCAUAUGCUCUCCAUUUUUAGUUUUGCUUAAAAAUCCAUUUGAGUUUUCUGCUUUGUUUCUCCUACAAGUCACGAGACUUGCCAUACAAGCAUUCUGCUGAAGCUUGCUGCUGCUGCCUCUUGCACCAACAAGAGGUCUAAGCUUUCCAAACUUUUAAGCCCUUUUAAAAAUUGGGGGAAUUCACUAAGAUUGCAAGAUGACAAAAAUAAGCUUGUAAGAUUAACAGUAGAAGUUGUAUUAGAUGUUAAGGAUAGGCUGUUAUAUGAAAGGUCAAGAUAUUCGAGAUUUGGAAGGUUUGAGAACAUGCGAAACUCUAUGACACCACUAAGAUAAUUUGAGGAUAAGCUAAGUUGGGUAAGAUUGAGAAGUUGGAAUAUUGAAGAUGGAAGAGGACCUUGGAGUUUAUUAUUCUCUAACCAUAUCCAUUCUAGUGAUUUGGAUUGGAAUUCUUUGAUAUGCCCACUGAAUUGAUUUUGAGAGAGAUAUAUUGUCUUUAAGGAGGGAGCAAUAUACAACCAUGACGGAAGUGUUCCAUUGAGUAAAUUGUCAGAUAAGUCUAAAUAUAUUAGAUUAUGAAAAGCGGUUACCUCAUCUGGAAUGGAACCUUCUAAAGAAUUGUUAGAUAUUGUCAAGUAUUCCAGCUGCGUUAGGUUUAGAAUUGACAAUGGAAUUUGUCCACUCAAUUUGUUCCAUCCCAAGUCUAAAACAGUGAGUUGCAAGAGGUUCCCCAAUGAUCUUGGAAUCUGUCCACUCAAUUGGUUCAGCCACAAGUCUAAAUGAGUGAGUUGCAAGAGGUUCCCUAAUGAUCUUGGAAUUUGUCCACUCAAUUGGUUCUUCGACAAGUCUAAAUGAGUGAGUUGCAAGAGGUUCCCCAAUUUUCUUGGAAUUUGUCCACUCAAUUGGUUCUCCGACAAGUCUAAAUGAGUGAGUUUCAAGAGAUUCCCCAGUGAUCUUGGAACCAGUCCUGAUAAGUUGGAAUGGGAGAGAACUAAAAACUUCAAGGACACAAGAUUCCCCAUCGAGUCAGGCAAUCCUCCACAAAUAUUUGCGUCUGAAAUUAUCAAUUGUUCAAGAUUGCUGCUCCGAUUGAACUUCAAAGGAUCAAGAUUGAGGUUUUGGUUGCCUCCCAAGUUGAGGAGAUUGAGGUUUGGCAAAUCAAAAAUGUUUUUUGGGAAUUUUCCUUGCAAAUCACAACCAACAAGACUGAGAGACCUUAGAGAAGAGGAUAGAUUCAUGAAGACAUGAGCAUUAACUGAAGACAUGUCCAUUUCAUCCAAAAACAGACGUCUGACCUCGGUUAGGUUGUGAACAAGACCCUCCAGAGCAUAUUUGUCAAUUGUUAAUAGUUCAUCAAACCCAGAAAGAUCAAGUGAAACCAAUUUUGACAGGUGGGAGACUUGGGAUGGGACUUCUGAAAACCAUGUAUUGGAAAGGUUGAGGUAGAAUAGGCUUGUAAACCGACCGAACUCGGAUGGAAUUUUGGAAGAAUUAAAAUCAUUGUAGGCAAGGUUGAGUUUUUGAAGGUGAGGAAGAAGGAAGAGAGUGGUAUUGGAAGGGAAGGUGCCAUAUAGCCAACUGCAGCUCAAGUCAAGGGCAAUAACAUGAGCAUUUAGGUGGUCACAAGUGACCCCAUCCCAUGAGCAGCAAUCUGUACCCUCCUUCCAUGAAUUUGUCUUGGGAUAAGAUUUAAGGCCAGCAAAAUAAUCGCAAUGAUCAAAAGAAGCAUCCUCUCUUAUGGAAAAGGAGUCCUUAAACUGGAUUAGUGAAGAGCAGGAGUGAGAUCCUGAAGAAGAAAAAGAAGCAUAAAGAUGGAGAAAGAAGAGGAAUAGGGAGAGAAAGAGAUAGGAGGCCAUGUUAUGUUGGUAGAGGAAGAUGAAGGAUAGGAAUGGUAUUUAUAGGCAACAAAUAAUACCACAACAUUGGUGUUACAGUCUUUUUUCUUUUACAUUGAAAAGCUAUGGAUAUUAGAUUUUCAAAAUUUUUGUAUUUUUCACAAUCAUCAACAACCACUUUGUCUUCAUUUUACCAUAUAUUUUUCAUUCUUAAAAUUGGAUUAUUUUCUUUUAGCAAAAUCUUGUAUUUCAUUUGAACUCCCUAAACAACUAAAAAAUUAAGAUUGAUAAAAUUACAAAGUAGAUUGACUUAGUCUUCUUCCUUGUAACACGUAAAGAAUUUCCACGCAAAAGAACAAAAUUGUGCUCUAUUCUUUACGUUUGAGGAAGAAGACUGCUGGAAUUUUAAUCCACUGAUUCCAUAAAAACGUGUAUACUUAUAUAUAUAUAUAUUUAUAACCUCAUAAUUUAAAUCUAAAAUCUCAUUUGUUAUAAAUUCUGAUAAAUUUAUUUGGGAAUUGCUAUUUUUCAUUCGUUAAUUAUUUCUCUUUUAAUCGAGUAAAAAAUUAAAACUAAAGACAUAAUGAUUUAUUUGGUAUUUUUUAACUUCGCAAACGAAAAAUUAUUUUAGCUUUCUAUUUUUUUUUAUCUCUUUUAGUCUUGAAAUUUAUAUGGUUCAUUAAAUCACCCAAAAAAAUGAUGAAAAAAAUAACAAAACUAGCACCUACGUGGCUGAUGUUGACCCUUAAUAGUUAAUGGCAACACCUAUGUAGUUGUUAACAGAUACCACACCAACACUGUUUGUUGACGUGACAAUGCCACAUGAUCAAUAAUCGCAGACAUGGUAGCGCCACGCCAUCGCCCAUUGAUGACAUAUUAACCUUUGAGUUAAACUCAAAUAAUUUGGUCCCAAAUAGUUUUCAACACAAAAGAAUAGAGGAAGAAGACUGCUACAGGUUUAACUAUCAAUUGUCUAUUGACUAUACUUUUAACUCCACUAAAAAAGACCAAGACUAAGACUAUCAAUUGUCUAUUGACUACACUUUAACUCGACAAAAAAAGACCAAGACUAAGACUAUCAAUUGUCUAUUGGCUUCACACUUGCUGUUGCUUCCUCCUAUUUCUCUCACCCAAACUUAAUUUACAAGCAAUGUGGAAAUUUUGGACAUUUGCCCACAACGUACAAUACUUCCACACCAUUUGCAGUAUUGACUACGUUUACUUGAGGGAAAACAAAGACAUGAACGCUGGAAAUUUUAACUAGUUUGUACCGUCAAUGAAGCUACGUACCUAAAAGCCAUUUAGGAUAUCAAUUCCUGUAAUUGGAGUAAUCUCAUCGUUGCUGCAAUCUUUUGACAGUUUAAUCGAAUCUUAAAUAUGUUACUCUGCAAUGCUAUUGUAAAUAUUUUUCUUAAAUUUGUCGAUAGAUUUAUAGGUUUGGCACAAAAUUAAGAAUACACAAAGGCAGGUUGAAUUAUUCCAUGUUUGAACAUCUGCAACAUAAAUGCAUAUGGCAAAAGGGCUCAAACCAUACCUUAUGUUCAUGAAUUCUCAUCAUCACGUGUUUAUAAAUGCAACUCAAACUUCAAUAAUUGAAUCUUUUGUAAUUCUACAUGUAUUUUUUUAUUAUGGCGAGCAGUAUAAUGUUUACUAAAAAUUGAAAUUCAAGAAAGAAGACAUAUAUAGUUGCACCAUACAAGAUGUUACACUCGAACUAAACGCUUACAAAUAGUACGAAAUGCAAUUGAAUACAGAGGAAUUGGUACAAUCAUAAAAACAGACACAUACCAAUGCAACUUUUCACCAUAGGAAAAACUUUCUGACAGACUACUAAACAAGAAAUUAUGAAGACACAGUAGAAAUGCUUUAACUUCAUUUGCACCAACUAGAUCAUUCUUCAUCCACUCAUGCGAUUGCUAUAUUUUGGCUUUCUUCUUCGCCUCUUCUCAUGUUGGUCUUCAACCAAAUUCACGAACCUUUUCACCUUAUCGGUUUGGAAAACAACACAUCCCAUGGCCAUUCCAAACACUACCCCGGAUCCAUAACCUAUCAACACCACUUUCCAACCAAAAGCAAUGUUUGCUUUUGAGCCAUCCUUUUCCAGCACAUUUGGAGGUGGUGUCUCAUUGAUGCUGCAACCUUUGGAGACUGGAAAUCCACAUAGUCUCUGUUUCCUUCGUAUGAAUUGUUUCCAAAUGUAUUGAACUGUUUGCCUUGAGGAAUCUGACCAUGGAGUUGAUUUUCGGAAACGUUUAAUAAGGAAAGAAAUGCCGGAUCUGCCAAUAUCUCUGGAAUUAACUCAGUUCAAAAGACUAUAUAACUCGUAAAGUUUGGUCGAAGACUAGCAGGGGUCAAGAAAAAUAAUUACUUGAAUUGUCAAAAUUUUGGAUUUUAGAGAAACAAGCACUAGACUUGGAGCUAUGGUCAUGCAAGGAACCAUGCAUUUCAUUUGACUUUAGUACAAGAACUUGUAGCCGUGGAAGACUUCCCUACCAAUGAGGAAAUGUAUCAUUGAUCUUGUUGUUCCUAAGAUCUAGCACUUCCAAAGACCUAAAAUUGAGGAUGGAUGGUGACAAAUGCCAUUCAAAUUGAUUUCCAUUUAAGUUGAGAUUACUCAAUUGGCAUCCCUUUGCAAAUGUUGGAGGAAUCAAUCCAUAAAACUUGUUCUUCUUUAGAUUCAAAAAUUCCAGGUUGUUGCUCAAAUUUCCAAAACAUUGUAGAAUAGUUCCACUCAAUUUAUUGUGGGACAAGUCAAGAAUUUGGAGAGCACUCACAUUGCCUAUCAAAGAAGAGACCUCUCCACUUAAACUAUUGUUUGAAGUAAAAAACACGUUGAUUGUCGAAGAUGGGAUUGGAAGAUUUCCAUGGAUCAAAUUGGAGCUUAAGUCAAGAAUAUUAAUAUUCUUCCAUGGAAGUUGCUCAACUUCUGUCAAUGAAUUGUGAGAUAAAUUUAAGUAACUCAAAGAGUCACACGUCACUUCUUGCAGCCAUUGUGGAAUCUUCCCUUCAAUUCUAUUGUUAGAAAGCUCCAAAGUUUUCAACUUUUUUAACCCUUUCAAAAAUCGGGGGAAUUGGCUGACAUUAUUUGAGCUUAAGGAUAGGCUGUUUAGUGAAAGGUCAAGAUAUUCGAGAUUUGGGAGAUUUGAGAACAUGCCAAACUCUAUGACACCACUGAAAUUAUUUGAGUAUAAAAGGAGCCAGGUAAGGUUGAGAAAUUGGAAUAUUGAAGAUGGAAGAGGACCUUGGAGAUUAUUAUUCCCUAACACUAUCAUUCUAGUGAUUUGGAUUGGAAUUCUUUGAUGUGUCCACUGAAUUGAUUCUGAGAGAGAGAUAUUUCCAUUAAGGAGAAAGCAUUAUACAACCAUGACAGAAGUUUUCCAUUGGGUAAAUUGUUAGAUAAGUCUAAAGAUAUUAGAUUAGGGAAAGCAGCUACCUCAUCUGGAAUGGGACCUUCUAAAGAAUUUUCAGCUAUUCUCAAGUGUUCAAGCUGUGUUAGGUUUACAAUUGACAAUGGAACUUGUUCACUCAAUUGGUUCCAUGACAAGUCUAAAUAUAUGAGCCACAAGAGGUUCCCCAGAGAUCUCGAAAUUGAUCCCUGUAAAUUGGAAUUAGAGAGAGACAAAUAUUUCAAGACGUGCAGGUUGUCAAUCAAAUCAAUCAAUUUUGAAAAGGAGGACAUCCAUGACAGAUCCAAAUGUUCAAGAUUACUGCUCUGAUUGAACUUCAGAAGAUCAAGAAUCAGGUUUCGGUUGUAUCCUAAGUUGAGCAAAUUGAGGUUUGGCGAAUGAAGAACGUUUCUUGAGAAUUUUCCUUGCAAAUCACAACCACCAAGACUGAGAGACUUUAUAGAAGAGGAUAGAUUGAUGAAAACAUUAGGAUUAAUAGAAGGCAUGAUAAUUCUAUCAAGAAAAAGAUGUCUCACCUCAGUUAGGUUGUGAACAAGUCCCUUCAAAGAAUUUUAUCAAGUGUUAAUUGGUCAGAAAAAACAUUAUGAGAGAGAUCAAGUGAAACCAAUUUUGACGAGUGGGAGAUUUGGGAUGGGACUUUUCCUGCAAAUAACGUUUCUGAGAUGUUAAGAUACACCAGGCUUGUAAACCGGCCGAACUCGGAUGGAAUUUUGGAAAGAUUAAAAUCAUUGUAGGCAAGGUUGAAUUUUUGAAGGUGAGGAAGAAGGAAGAGAGUGGUAUUGGAAGGGAAGUUGCCAUAUAGACAACUGCAGCUCAAGUCAAGGGCAAUAUAUAACUUGAGCAUUUAGGUGGUCACAAGUGACCCCAUCCCAUGAGCAGCAAUCUGUACCCUCAUUCCAUGAAUUUGUCCUGGGAUAAGAUUUAUGGCCAUCAAUCUCAUUGCUAUAAGAAGAAGCAUACUCUGUUAUGGAAAAAGAGUCCUUAAACUGGAUUAGUGAAGAGCAGGAGUGAGAUCCUGAAGAAGAAAAAGAAGCAUAAAGAUGGGGAAAGGUUAAGGUAGAAUAGGCUUGUAAACCGACCGAACUCGGAUGAAAUUUUGGAAAGAUUAAAAUCAUUGAAGGCAAGGUUGAGUUUUUGAAGGUGAGGAAGAAGGAAGAGAGUGGUAUUGGAAGGGAAGUUGCCAUAUAGCCAACUGCAGCUCAAGUCAAGGGCAAUAACUUGAGCAUUAAGGUGAUGACAAGUGACCCCACACCAUGAGCAGCAAUCUGUACCCUCCUUCCAUGAAUUUGUCUUGGGAUAAGAUUUAAGGCCGGCAAAAUCAUCGCAACACAAAGCAGCAUGGCCUGUCUGAGUGAUCGAAAAUGAAUUCUUGAACUGGAUUAGAGAAGCAGCUUCGUGGUGAGAGCAGGAGUGAGAUCCUGAAGAAGAAGAAGCAUAAAGAUGGGGAAAGAAGAGGAAUAGGCAGAGAGAGAGAUAGGGGCCAUGUUAUGUUUGUAGAGGAAGAUGAAGGAUAGGAAUGGUAUUUAUAGGCAACAAAUAGAAUCCAAUAUUAAACAAAAGAUUUGAUGAUUAAUACCACAACACCACUGUUACAGUGUUGUUUCUUUUAUGGUAUAAAGAUUGUUAUUGGAAGAGUUUGAAAUGCUGACAUUGAAAACCUAUAUUUUUCAAUACUCAUCAACAACCACUUCCUUUUUACCAUAUCUUUUUCAUUCCCAAAAUUGGAUACAUUGUUUUACCAAAAUUUUGUAUUUCAUUUGAACUCCCUAAACAACUGAGAAAAUUAACAUUGAUGAGAUUACAAAGUAGAUUGACUUAGUCUUCUUCCUUAUAAUAGGUAAAAAAAAAAUGUGAGUGUCUAUUCACUUAUAAUAUUUCCAUGCUAGAGGUAGUUUUUGGAAAAUCUUUAAUUAAAUCUUAAUUUCAUUUUGUUAAAAUUUUAAACUGGGUUAUCGAAUUGGCUUCUGAUUGUAGGUUGAUCAAUGAUGGGCCGAUUUCUUCUUCUUCUUUUUUAAUUUUUUUAGGGUUAAUUUAUAAUAUACUGCUUAAUGUUGUUGAUUUAUUUUUCUGGUCAUCGUUUCAUCCGUUUGUUGAAGAUAACUGAAUUUUUAUUGGUUGUAAUUGGACUUGGGUUUUAGCCAAUGACUAUAAUCAAAGGGUUAAUUUAAGGUUCCAAUGAAUUGUUUGAAAAUUUUAUUAUUUUUCUUUUCAAUUAGUUGUUUUACAAGGAUUUAACUUAUAUUAGUCAAAUGAACUGGCUUUAAAAAAUGAACAAGAACGAAGAAAUUGGAUGGUUAACUGGACACUGGAAAGGGGGAAUGCUAAAAGUUGUAAAUGUUUUGAAUAUAGAGUUGUAUUCUUUUCAUGGCUUCAGAAAAAUGUAUGCAAUGUUUGGCCAGCGAUAAUGGACAAGUUUUUUUAAACCUCCAUGCCUUAGUCAUGCUUUCAUAAACAUGGGCAGCUAACACCGAGAAGUCUCAUUGAAUGUAGUAAGCGAUUUAAAAGUGAAGCUCAUAUGCGACCGGGGAUGGUUGAUUUGAGGUUUAAUUCUAGCUAGUAGAUUCUGUUGUUUGUUAAGCGUCUUUUUGGAGACAAAUGUCUGAGAUUGCUGGAAAAUGCUUCUUACCAUCAUAUUAAUGUGUAUUUGGGUUGCGUUUUCUUAGAGUUUUGGAUUCUUUGCAUCAUAUCAUAAAAUUGAGUUAGAUAUAACAUCUCAUUGUUAUCUGUUAAUUGUUUCACUUGGGACCAGGAGCAUGCUGGCAACUCAAUACAGCUGUAAAUGCAUAUUUCAGUGAGGGUGAUAGGUAUAUAUUUAUGAAUUAUCCUAAUAUUUUUUAUGAUAAGUAAUUCUAGGUUUAUAGCUUUAUUUGUUUGUUUGUUUUCUCGUGUUUCCUACAAAAAAAGGCCAACAUCAACCAUAGUUCCUGUAGAUGAUGCCAUGGAUAUAGAUGAUCCAAAUGAAGUAGUACCAAAUGGGCCAGUCCUUCCAUUUCUACCAUCAUCUAGAACAAACGAACAAUCGUCUCUUUUUCUGAAAUUUCCGGCGCGACGCCUGUGCGGGGGGCCUUGGCCGGAAUCUGGACUUAGUCCAGAGAGUUUUUUUUUCUUUCUUCUGUUUUUUUUUUUCAAUGUUCAAAUGAUUUUUUUUCUCAAAACACUAAUUUUUAUGCCCAGUGAAACGGCGCCGUUUUGGCUAAGCUCCAAAACACCCAAAACGACGUCGUUUCACUCGCCACCAACUUGAAUUUUAUAACUACUCCUAUGCCAACCAGCAAACCAUAACAGCGUACAUAAAAAAGAGGAUGCUGACUUACAAUUCCUUUCAUUUCACCAUAACCAAUCAAAUCCCUUGCAAUGCUGUUUGGAUCACAGCAGCUCAUCUUUCAAUCCUAGAUGGCUCCGCUAAUUUUUUGAAAGCAUACAUAAACUGUUAAAGAAAUAAAUGGAUAAAACAACUACAGGAUAGAAGGCUGAAAAAUUACAAAGUGCAAUGACCUUAUUGUUAAAAUUUCAACGCCCAUUCCUUGGAAAGAUAUCUUCACCAUUGCCCACUCAAGAGAACUCAAAUAGCAGCAAGAUCUAGUAUAAAAUGUAACUCUCAACAACACACACAAAUGUUUGUUCUAUCAAGGAGCAAUACACAGACAUAUUCACCUACCCUUGGUUCUAGCUUUGCAUAUUACAUAACACUCUUCAAAUGUCUUAUUAAAUUCUCACUUUUACGAGUGCUAUGAUAAUCAAAUAAAAUUCAAUUCAAUUUUAAGUUCCAUAUAACACUUACAUGGCUACAAAAUGUGUGUGUGUUUAAGUGUCGACAACCACAAACAAUCCAAAUUUGCAGAGAAACCACCCAUUAUAUAUAGGUUUGCCAAUGAGAUGGCAAGCAGAUUGCUAGCUAGAAAUUCAUGCAUCUUUGAAUCACCAGUUCAAUUAAUAAGCUUAAGUAGAGGAAAUAGGGACUUUACAUCCACCAAUUAAAGCAACCUAUAUGUACCCUUUUACAGUCUGCAUUGUUCCAUGUUUCAAUUCAUUACAUCAUUCCUUCAACUCUGCUAUAUAUUAUUACCGUCUCCAGAUAACCAAACCUUUUACUGCUAACUUGUAAAAAAAUUAUGAAAAUACAACAGAGAUCAUUGAGACAUUGUUGAAGUUGGCUUGCAUGCAGAGCAAGAAGCAGACCAAGCUGUCCGAGCCAUGCAAGUUGCAGCUGAAGCUUAUGCUGCUGUUUUGUUACUUUCAAAUAGAUAUUUUAUUACUUAGUUAGAUAUGAACUAAGUUGUUGAUAUGCUUGAUGUGAUUAGGUGCUGAUAGAUUGAUAAAUCAGCUUUACCAAGUGUACAAGCAAUGUUUAUCAAGUUACUAAGCCACUUAGUGGAGUUAGGCACGUGUUUAGGUAACAUUUUCUUAUUUUUGACCAGCUGAUUGCUCGGUAUAUGUAAUGGAAUUGUGCCUUCAUUUGGUCUUUACUUAAGCAUUUUUAUUCAAAAAGCUCUUGCUGUUUUUGUUUUGUUUGUUGUGCAAGAUAUCAAUGCUUUAUGCUUAAGUUUCUGUCAAAAUUUCUCAUUCUGUUUUCUUAGUUCCUACAGACAUUUUGUUCUCCUUUCUCCUUUACUGAGCAGUAGCAAAGAUUAUUGAGACUAAAUUGAAAUCCAUGAAAGAAGACAUAAACAACACCACCAUACAAAAUGUCACACUCAAACAAACCAUUACAGAUAGUACGAAAUGCAAUGAAAGACAGAGGAAUUGGUACAAUAAUAAAGACAGCCAGAUACCAAUGCAACCCUUCACCAUAGGCACAACGGUCUACAAACAAGAAAUUAUGAAAAAUACAACACUAAUUCUUGAACAUCAUUUGCAGUAAUUAGAUCCUUCUUCGUCUACUGCUGCGAUUGCCUUUCUUUGACUUUCUUCUUCGCCUCUUCUCAUGUUGGUUUUCAACCAAAUUCACCAACCAUUUUGGCUUUCCAGUUUGGAAAACAACAUAUCCCACGGACAUUCCGAACACUACUCCGCAUCCACAACCUAUCAUCACCACUUUCCAACCAAAAGCAAUGUUUGAUUUUGAGCCAUCUUUUUCAAGCACAUUUGGAGGUGGUGGGUCAAUGAUGUUGCAACCUUUCGAGACCGGAAACCCACACAGUCCCUUAUUUCCUUCAUAUGAAUCAUUUCCAAAUGUGUUGAAUUGUUUGCCUUGGGGAAUCUUACCAUGGAGUUGAUUUUCAGAAACAUUUAAGGACGAAAGAAACGGCAGAUCUGCCAAUCUAUUUGGAAUCGCCCCAGACAACCUGUUUGAAGAUAGGUCCAACCAUUCAAGACUUGUCAAAUUCCCUAUUGAUGUGGGGAUACCACCAUUAAGGUUAUUAUGAGAAAGGUUGAGCCCUUUCAGUAAGUUAAGCUUCCCAAUAACCUUUGGAAUACCCCCUUCAAACUGAUUGUUUGAUAGAUCAAUGAUCAUCCACAUGGUGAAAAUUUUCACCAAUUCCCUAUCUUGUCCUUUCAUAACAAUUCCAAUGGAAUAGGUAUAGAAGUCACCUCCAUCAUCAUUCACCCCCAUGUACGACACUGUACUACCAAUCUUCUCUAGAUUUAUGAUAGCCUUGAAGCUGUUGAUGUAUCUCACUGGUAGGGGUCCAGAAAAAUAAUUACUUGAGAGAUCAAAAAUUUGGAUUUUAGAGAAAAAAGGGAUAGACUUGGAGCUAUUGACACAUAAGGAACCAUGCAAUUGAUUUGACUUCAAUACAAGAACUUGUAGCCGUGGAAGACUUCCCAACCAAUGAGGAAAUGUAUCAUUGAUCUUGUUGUUACCAAGAUCUAGCACUUCCAGACCAUUACAAUUAAGGAUGGAUGGUGUCAAAGGCCCUUCUAACAGAUUUCCAUUUAAGUUGAAAUUACUCAAUUGGCAUCCCAUUGCAAAUGUUGGAGGAAUCGUCCCAUAGAACUUGUUCUUCUUCAGAUUCAAGAAUAGAAGGCUGUUGCUCAAAUUUCCAAAACAUUGUGGAAUUGUUCCACUCAAGUUAUUGUGGGACAAAUCAAGAAUUUCAAGAAAAGCGGCAUUGCAUAUUAAAGAAGAGACCUCUCCAUUGAAACUAUUAUUAGAGAUCAAAAAGACAUUGAUGGUCGAAGCUGGAAUCGGAAGAUUUCCACUGAUCAAAUUGGAGCUUAAGUCAAGAACGUCAAUAUUCUUCCAUGGAAAGUGCUCAACUUCUGUCAAAGAGUUGUGAGAUACGUUUAAGUAAGUCAAAGAGUCAUUCCCCACCUCUUGCAUCCACUGUGGAAUCUUGCCUUCAAUUUUGUUGUAAGAGAGGUCUAAGCUUUCCAAACUUUUAAGCCCUUUUAAAAAUUGGGGGAAUUCACUAAGAUUGCAAGAUGACAAAAACAACCUUGUAAGAUUAACAGUAGAAGUAGUAUUAGAUGUUAAGGAUAGGCUGUUAUAUGAAAGGUCAAGAGAUUCGAGAUUUGGAAGGUUUGAGAACAUGCGAAACUCUAUGACACCACUAAGAUAAUUUGAGGAUAAGCUAAGUUGGGUAAGAUUGAGAAGUUGGAAUAUUGAAGAUGGAAGAGGACCUUGGAGUUUAUUAUUCUCUAACGCUAUCCAUUCUAGUGAUUUGGAUUGGAAUUCUUUGAUAUGCCCACUGAAUUGAUUUUGAGAGAGUUUUAUAUCCUUUAAGGAGGGAGCAGUAUACAACCAUGAUGGAAGUUGUCCACUGAGUAAAUUGUUAGUUAAGUCUAAAGAUAUUAGAUUAGGAAAAGCGGUUACCUCAUCUGGAAUAGAACCUUUUAAUGUAUUUCCAGCUAUUCUCAAGUAUUCCAGCUGCGUUAGGUUUAGAAUUGACAAUGGAAUUUGUCCAUUCAAUUGGUUCUGCCACAAGCCUAAAUAAGUGAGUUGCAAGAGGUUCCCCAAUGAUCUUGGAAUUUGUCCACUCAAUUGGUUUUGCCACAAGCCUAAAUAAGUGAGUUGCAAGAGGUUCCCCAAUGAUCUUGGAAUUUGUCCACUCAACUGGUUCCCCGAUAAGUCUAAAUGAGUGAGUUGCAAGAGAUUCCCCAGUGAUUUUGGAACCGGUCCUGAUAAGUUGGAAUAGGAGAGAUCUAAAAACUUCAAGGACACAAGAUUACCCACCGAGUCUGGCAAUCCUCCAAAAAAAUUUGCGCCUGAAAUUAUCAAUUGCUCCAAAGAUGAUAAAUUUGUGAUUGAGACAGACAAUCCUUGAAAGAAAAAAUUUCCUGAUAGACCUAAGGACUUUAAGGCCUGUAGAUUAUCAACUGAAUCAAUGAAUUCUGUAGAGAAGGACGUCCAUGACAGAUCCAAAUGUUCAAGAUUGCUGCUCCGAUUCAACUUCAAAGGAUCAAGAUUGAGGUUUUGGUUGUUUCCCAAGUUGAGGAGAUUGAGGUUUGGCAAAUCAAAAAUGUUGUUUGGGAAUUUUCCUUGCAAAUCACAACCAGCAAGACUGAGAGACCUUAGAGAAGAGGAUAGAUUCAUGAAGACAUGAGCAUUAACAGAAGCCAUCUCCAUUCCAUCCAAAAACAGAUGUCUGACCUCGGUUAGGUUUUGAACAAGUCCCUCCAGAGCAUGUUUGUCUCCUACAAACCCUGUACUGGAAAGGUCGAGGUAGAGUAGGCUUGUAAACCGACCUAACUCGGAUGGAAUUUCGGAAAGAUUAAACUCAUUGUAGGCAAGGUUGAGUUUUUGAAGGUGAGGAAGAAGGAAGAGAGUGGAAUUGGAAGGGAAGUUGCCAUAUAGCCAACUGCAGCUCAAGUCAAGGGCAAUAACAUGAGCAUUUAGGUGGUCACAAGUGACCCCAUCCCAUGAGCAGCAAUCUGUACCCUCCUUCCAUGAAUUUGUCUUGGGAUAAGAUUUAUGGCCAGCAAUCUCAUUGCAAUAAGAAGAAGCGUCCUCUGUUAUGGAAAAAGAGUCCUUAAACUGGAUUAGUGAAGAGCAGGAGUGAGAUCCAGAAGAAGAAAAAGAAGCAUAAAGAUGGGGAAAGAAGAGGAAUAGGCAGAGGAAGAGAUAGGGGGCCAUGUUAUGUCUGUAGAGGAAGAUGAAGGAUAGGAAUGGUAUUUAUAGGCAACAAAUAAUACCGCAGUGUUACAGUCUUUUUUUCUUUUACAUUGAGAAGCUAUGGAGAUUAGAUUUUCAAAAUUUUUGUAUUUUUAACAAUCAUCAACAGUCACUUAGUCUUCUUUUUACCAUAUAUUUUUCAUUCUUAAAAUUGGAUGCUAUCUUUUCGCAAAAUCUUGUGGAAAUUCUUUAGCCUUCUUCUCUAUAACACUUAAAGAAUGUGUGUAUGUAUUCAUUUGCCUGUCAACUAAAGCUAAUUAAUGUGGAAAUUCUUUUCCACCCAAAAGAACAAAAUUGUGCUCUAUUCAUUAAGUUUGAGGAAGAAGAUUGCUGGAAAUUUAAUCUACCGAUUCCAUAAAAAACGUGUAUACUUAUAUAACCUCAUAAUUCAAAUCUAAAAUCUCAUUUGUUAUAAAUUCUGAUAAAUUUCUUUGGAAUUGCUAUUUUUCAUUUGUUAAUUAUUUCUCUUUUAAUCGAGUAAAAAAUUAAAACUAAAAAGACAUAAUGAUUUAUUUGGCAUUUUUAAACUUUACAAAUAAAAAAUCAUUUUAGCUUUUCAUUUUUUUAUCUCUAUUAAAUCACCCAAAAAAAAUAAUGAAAAAGACUAACAAAACUAGCACCUACGUGGCUGAUGUUGACCCUUAGUAGUUAAUGACAACAUCUACGUAGUUGUUAACAGAUACCACACUAACACUGUUUGUUGACGUGACAAUGCCACAUGAUCAAUAAUCACCGACAUGGUAGCGCCACGCUAUCGCCCAUUGGUGACAUAUUGAUGUUUGAGUUAAACUCAAAUUACUAUUUCCUUUGUUAUAAAUUAAGAGUAUAACUAAUUUUGAUAAGAAUGAUUACUUUUCAUUAACUCAGUCUAAAGGACUAUAACACGUAAAGUUUGGCCUAUUGCAGAAUUCACAUGCAAUGCGGGGCAUUUACAUUAUGCAGAAUUCGGCACAUAUAUGGGAAUUUUUGUAUUUCCACAAUCAUCAUGUUGUUCGUGAUCAACAACUACUUCCUUUUUACCAUAUAUUUUUCAUUCAUAAAAUUGAUUACUUUUUUUUUUACGAAAGAAGUAAAAUUAUUAACAUUCAUGAUAUUACAAAGCCUUCUUCCUUAUAACACGUCAAGUUUGGCCCCAAAUAAUUUUCCAGACAAAAGAAUUAAGAGGAAGGAGACUGCUACAGAUUGACUAUACUUUUAACUCCACAAACAAAGACUAAGACUAUCAAUUGUCUAUUGACUACACUUUAACUCGACAAAAACAGAUUGACUAUACUUUUAACUCCACAAACAAAGACUAAGACUAUCAAUUGUCUAUUGACUUCACUUUAACUCGACAAAAACAGACUAAUAAGACUUUGGUUGGCUGUAAUGGGCUAUUGACUAUACUUUAACUCCGCAAAAAAAGACUAAGGCUAUCAAUUGUCUAUUGACUUCACACUUGCUGUUGCUUCCUCCUAUCUCUAUCACUUGCUUCCUCCUAUCUCUAUCACCCAAACUUAAUUUACAAGCAAUGUGGAAAUUUUGGACAUUUGGGCCACAAUGUACAAUACUUCCACACCAUUUGCAGUAUUGACUACGUUUACUUGAGGGCAAACAAAGACAUGAAUGCUGGAAAUUUUAACUAGUUUGUACCGUCAAUGAAGCUACGUACCUAAAAGCAAUGUAUUAUCACCGUCUCCAGAAAUUUUGCUAAUUCAAUUUCCCAAGAAAUAUGAUUAAUUUUGGUUAAAUUGGAGUGAACAUUACUAUUUCUGUUUUAGCAAUUAAAGCAACCUAUAUGUACCCUUUUACAGUCUGCAUUGUUCCAUGUUUCCAUUCAUUACAUCAUUCCUUCAACUCUGCUAUAUAUUAUCACCGUCUCCAGAGAACCAAACCUUUUACUGCUAACUUGUAAAAAAAUUAUGAAAAUACAACAGAGAUUAUUGAGACAUUGUUGAAGUUGGCUUGCAUGCAGUAGACAUUGUUAAUCUUAUUAUUAUUAUUAUUAUUAUUAACUCAUGAACCCAUGGUUACACUUCCAACAGAGGUGAGAGAGGUUAAGAGUAGCCAUGAGCCAUCUAGUCAUGCUCCUGUUGUUGAGGAUGCCUCUGAAACUGCACAAGCUCUCAGCCCGAAUUCAAAUCUAAAAUCUCAUUUGUUAUAAAUUCUGAUAAAUUUAUUUGGGAAUUGCUAUUUUUCAUUCGUUAAUUAUUUCUCUUUUAAUCGAGUAAAAAAUUAAAACUAAAAAGACAUGAUAAUUUACUUGGCAUUUUUUAACUUUACAAACAAAUAGUCAUUUUAGCUUUCCAUUUUUUUUUUCUCUUUUAGCCUUGAAACUUAUAUGGUUCCUUAAAUCACUCCAAAAAAAAUGAUGAAAAAGACUAACAAAUUCUAGCACCUACGUGGCUGAUGUUGACCCUAGUAGUUAAUGGCAACACCUACGUAGUGGUUAACAGAUACCACACCAACACUGUUUGUUGACGUGACAAUGCCAAAUGGUCAAUAAUCGCUGACAUGGUAGCGCCACGCCAUCGCCCAUUGAUGACAUGUUAACCUUUGAGUUAAACUCAAAUUACUCUUUCCUUUGUUAUAAAUUAAGAGUAUAAAUAAUUCUGAUAAGAAUAGUUACUUUUCAUUAACUCAGUUUAAAGGACUAUAACACGUAAAGUUUGGUCUAUUGCAGAAUUCACAUGCCAUGCGGGACGUUUACAUUAUGCAGAAUUCAACACAUAUAUGGGAAUUUUUGUAUUUCCACAAUCAUCAAAUAAUUUUCAUAAAUUGAUUACUUUCUUUUUACCAUAUAAUUUUCAUUCAUAAAUUGAUUACUUUUUUUUUACAAAAGAAGUAAAAUAAUUAAUAUUCGUGAGAUUACAAAGUCUUCUUCCUUAUACACGUCAAGUUUGGUCUCAAAUAAUUUUCCACACAAAAGAAUACUUUUAACAAUCAAUUGUCUAUUGACUAUACUUUGAACUCCACAAAAAAGACUAAGACCUUCAAUUGUCUAUUGACUACACUUUAACUCGACAAAAAAAGACUAAGACUAUCAAUUGUCUAUUGACUAUCAAUUGGUUCCAUGACAAGUCUAAAUAUAUGAGCCACAAGAGGUUCCCCAAUGAUCUCGAAAUUGAUCCCCGUAAAUUGGAAUUAGAGAGAGACAAAUAUUUCAAGACAUGCAGGUUGUCAAUCAAAUCAAUCAAUUUCGUAAAGGAGGACAUCCAUGACAGAUCCAAAUGUUCAAAAUUACUGCUCUGAUUGAACUUCAGAAGAUCAAGACUAAGGAUUCGGUUGUAUCCUAAGUUGAGCAAAUUGAGGUUUGGCGAAUGAAGAAUGUUUCUUGAGAACUUUCCUUGCAAAUCACAACCACCAAGACUGAGAGACUUUAUAGAAGAGGAUAGAUUCAUGAAAACAUUAGGAUUAAUAGAAGGCAUGAUAAUUCUAACAAGAAAAAGAUGUGUCACCUCAGUUAGGUUGUGAACAAGUCCCUCCAAAGAAUUUUAUCAAGAGUUAAUUGGUGAGAAAAAACAUUAUGAGAGAGAUCAAGUGAAACCAAAUUUGACGAGUGGGAGAUUUGGGAUGGGACUUUUCCUGUAAAUAACGUUUUUUAGAUGUUAAGAUACACCAGCCUUGUAAACCGACCGAACUAGGAUGGAAUUUUGGAAAGAUUAAAAUCAUUGUAGGCAAGGUUGAGUUUUUGAAGGUGAGGAAGGAGGAAGAGAGUGGUAUUGGAAGGGAAGUUGCCAUAUAGCCAACUGCAGCUCAAGUCAAGGGCAAUAACAUGAGCAUUAAGGUGAUGACAAGUGACCCCAUACCAUGAGCAGCAAUCUGUACCCUCCUUCCAUGAAUUUGUCUUGGGAUAAGAUUUAAGGCCGUCAAAAUCAUCGCAAUACAAAGCAGCAUGGUCUGUCUGAGUGAUCGAAAAUGAAUUCUUGAACUGGAUUAGAGAAGCAGCUUCGUGGUGAGAGCAGGAGUGAGAUCCUGAAGAAGAAGAAGCAUAAAGAUGGGGAAAGAAGAGGAAUAGGCAGAGAGAGAGAUAGGGGCCAUGUUAUGUUUGUAGAGGAAGAUGAAGGAUAGGAAUGGUAUUUAUAGGCAACAAAUAGAAUCCAAUAUUAAACAAAAGCUUUGAUGAUUAAUACCACAACACCACUGUUACAGUGUUGUUUCUUUUAUGGUAUAAAGAUUGUUAUUGGAAGAGUUUGAAAUGCUGACAUUGAAAACCUAUAUUUUUCAAUACUCAUCAACAACCACUUCCUUUUUACCAUAUCUUUUUCAUUCCCAAAAUUGGAUACAUUGUUUUACCAAAAUUUUGUAUUUCAUUUGAACUCCCUAAACAACUGAGAAAAUUAACAUUGAUGAGAUUACAAAAUAGAUUGACUUAGUCUUCUUCCUUAUAAUACGUAAAAAAAAAUGUGAGUGUCUAUUCACUUAUAAUAUUUCCAUGCUAGAGGUAGUUUUUGGAAAAUCUUUAAUUAAACCUUAAUUUCAUUUUGUUAAAAUUUUUAACUGGAUUAUCGAAUUGGCUUCUGAUUGUAGGUUGAUCAAUGAUGGGCUGAUUUCUUCUUCUUCUUUUUUAAUUUUUUUAGGGUUUAUAAUAUACUGCUUAAUGUUGUUGAUUUAUUUUUCUGAUCAUCGUUUCAUUCGUUUGUUGAAGAUAACUGAAUUUUUAUUGGUUGUAAUUGGACUUGGGUUUUAGCCAAUGACUAUAAUCAAAGGGUUAAUUUAAGGUUCGAAUGAAUUAUUUGAAAAUUUUAUUAUUUUUCUUUUCAAUUAGUUGUUUUACAAGGAUUUAACUUAUAUUAGUCAAAUGAACUGGGUUUAAAAAAUGAACAAGAACGAAGAAAUUGGAUGGUUGACUGGACACUGGAAAGGGGAAAAGCUAAAAGUUGUAAAUGUUUUGAAUAUAGAGUUGUAUUCUUUUCAUGGCUUCAGAAAAAUGUAUGCAAUGUUUGGCCAGCGAUAAUGGACAAGUUUUUUUAAACCUCCAUGCCUAAGUCAUGCUUUCAUAAACAUGGGCAGCUAACACCGAGAAGUCAGUAAGCGAUUUAAAAGUGAAGCUCAUAUGCGUCAUUGCUACUCGCUUUGCAGCUAAACUCCUGAGUGACCGGGGAUGGUUGAUUUGAGGUUUAAUUCUAGCUAGUAGAUUCUUAGGUUUGUUAAGGGUCUUUUUGGAGACAAAUGUCUGAGAUUGCUGGAAAAUGCUUCUUACCAUCAUAUUAAUGUCUAUUCGGGUUGCGUUUUCUUAGAGUUUUGGAUUCUUUGCAUCUUAUCAUAAAAUUGAGUUAGAUAUAACAUGUCAUUGUUAUCUGUUAAUUGUUUCACUUGGGACCAGGAGCAUGGUGGCAACUCAAUACAGCUGUAAAUGCAUAUUUCAGCGAGGGUGAUAGGUAUAUAUUUAUGAAUUAUGCUAAUAUUUUGUUAUGAUAAGUAAUUCUAGGUUUAUAGCUUUAUUGGUUUGUUUGUUUUCUCAUGUUUCCUACAAAAAUAAGGCCAACAUCAACCAUAGUUUCUGUAGAUUAUGCCAUGGAUAUAAAUGAUCCAAAUGAAGUUGUACCAAAUGGGCCAGUCCCUUCCAUUUCUACCAUCAUCUAGAACAAACGAACAAUCGUCUCUUCAUCAUCGAAACUUCCAUAGCAGUUUCUUCGAUGGUGAUUCUGGUUCAACUUAUGAACCAAUUGAUACAUAUCCAACAGAGGUGAGAGGGGUUAAGUAUAGCCAUGAGCCAUCUAGUCAUGCUCCUGUUGUUGAGGAUGCCUCUGAAACUGCACAAGCUCUCGGCCCGAAUUCCCAUGAGACUGUUACAAUUGGUGAAGUAGGUGACGAUUCAAUUGCGCAGCCAAGGUGGCAGAAUGAUAACUGUAACAACCAGCAUGUUACACCCAGCGCUCCUGCCUUUGAUAAUUUGCUAGACUAUGGCGAUGACAUUGAAGAACAAAUGAUUCAAGCUGCCAUUGAGGCCUCUAAGCGGGAUGCUGAGGCAAGUUUUAAAAAAAGGACGCUUCCAAUUUGAUAGUGUUGUGGUGCCCUUCAUUCUUGUAGUUGCUGUAAAUGCUUGUUUUACAGAUUGCCUUUUUCAUGUUUAAAGUGUUAAAGUGUUGCAAAUUGAAGUGUUUUAAGUAAUGCAAAUUGAAUUGUUUAGUUGCUGGAAAUUGAGAUGUUUUAUGGCCGUAAUUGAGUGUAUAAAUGUUGUAAAUUGAAGUGUUUUAUUGCUGGAAAUUGGAUGCAUGGUAUAAUGACAUGAUAGAAUGUCAUUACAAUGUUGUAACUUUUUGAUGUUGUAAAAUCAUAUGGAUUAUGACAUCUAAACUAAUGAAAUCGUGUAACUUUUUAUUAAUAUAUGAAUAUUAUGUUGGGAUGUGAAAUAUAAUUCUCAAGUUAUUUAUUACUUCUAAUAUCUAAUAUUUCAUUGUAGAAUAAUUAAAAUUAUUUGUUUCACUAAUGAUAUUUUAGCACAUUCAAUAUCUAUUGCAGUUUAAAAAUAAUAAUUUAGAUUAUAUAUUAUUUUUAUAGUAUUAUAUAUUAUGAUUUUAGUAAAUUCAUAUAAUAGUAAUUAUAUUAAGAAUUUUAUUAAAUUAUAUUUAAUAAUAAUUAUGUUAAAAUAUGGUUAAAUUAUUUAUUAUCUUUAUUAAAUUAUUUUUAAUAAUAAUCUUUUUAAAAUUUAAUAACAAUAACAAAAAUCAUCUACUUAAAAAAGAUUCUGCUAAGGGUAUUCUAGUCAUUUUAGUUUUUUCCUUAUGCAAUUACAACAUCAUUCCAUUCAACCAAACACAAGAAUACCAUUACAGUUCUAUUCCGUUCCAUUCAACCAAACAAUUGAAUUACUGAUUACAGCUCUAUUCCAUUACAGUGAACCAAAUAUAUCCUUAGUAUGAAUGGCUGUCGAGGCAUGUAGAAAUUUGCACACAAAAGAACAAAAUUGUGCACUACUUAAAACUUCAAAGCAUGUGUGGCCUUAAUUUAAUUUUUCAUCUUUUUUAGCCCUUAAACCUACAUUGUUUAUCAGAUGAAAAAAUUAAUAUCUAUUAACUUUGCUAAUGUGCAAGCAUAUGCAACUUCUUUUAAAUCUAAAAAAUAUAAAAAUAAUUAAAUAUGUAUAAAUCUAAAGAUAUCUUAAACUUAAAACUAAAAUUUUUUAAACUAAUGCAAAUUUUUAUUAUUUAAAAAAUCUUAAAAUUUUCAAAUUAAAUUCCAUUUGUUUUCCACCGUUGAAGAACACCUUUAAUCACAACUUCAUGCUGUAUUGCCUAGAAAUUGUUUUGCAAAUUUAUUUUGUUUUAUUUAUUUCUAAACCCAUAUUUCUUUUCUAUAACUCCAAUUAUUAGAUUGUUUAGGGUUUUGAGUAACUUUCGAUUUUGGAAUUUUAGAUUUUUUAAAUUUAAAUAUGAAGUGCUCUUCUUCUUCUCCAAACCCACAAAUUUUUCUGCCAAAUUUCUACUCAAGGUUUUACUUUCAGCUAUAAAUAAAGCGUAUAUUAUAUUUAUAAUGAUCUAAGAAUAGUAGAGUCGAUGCCGAUCUACAUGAAAAAGGAUGAAAAAAAAAGGCAAAGAAUGAUAAUAUGAAGAGAGCAUAAAUCAAUAAAGCAAAUGAAAAACGAGCAGGAUUAAAGUAAAUGGGUAUUUAAUAUUUUUUUGUGAAAGUUCAAAGACUGAUUAUUUAUAAAAUUGGAUGUGGAAAAAUUAGUUGGAAUUUUUUUUCUUACACCAAUUGAUUUUUUAUAUAAAAUUUUUAUUUAUUUUUAAGUGUUGAAACCACUUUUUGAAAACAAAAAAAAAGUGUUACUUUUAUUUUGAAAACGGAAACGAAAAAAUGGGAGUCGCCACCGAUAUUUUUUUUGAGGUGUGAUCGGAUCACCUUAAAACAAUUUUGGUCUACGAAUAAAAAAAUGGGUCCGGGAGUCAAUUACGUAGGAGGAAGGAUUAGCACCCUCAUAACGCCCAAAAUUGAUACCGAAUUGCAUAAUUAAUGUCUUAAAGUCGAAUGUCGAAAAUUCAAAAAGAUUAAAAAUGAUCCCCUUUAAUUAAUGACAUAUUUUUAAACAAUAUUUGUAUAAAUUUGAUCAUAUGUAGAAAGGUCUUCUCAUCCUGAGUCAACAAAAUGUCGUAUCCCAUAAGUUAGGAUGCGACAUUUAGAUUUCCGAGCAUAAUCUAGCCUUUAAAACCCUUUAUUGAAACUUUAUGUAUUUGAAAACUAAAAAUGUUUGACCAUCUUGGUUCAAUGAGGAAAUCGAAAACCCGUAAGUUAGGACAAAUUUCCUCAAAGUUCCAAAGACGAUAUAUACGUUUGCCUUUAUUUAAAAAAAAAAGAUACUCGGUUACUUAAAUUCAACGAGGAAAAUUGGAGCCUAAUAAGUUAGGGCACAAUCUUCUCGAAAAUAUUGGAUACCGGGUAUUACGUUAUUUUGAAAACUUUGAAUAAAAUGAUUUCAAUACUUUGACUAAACGCAACAUUUUAAAUGAAUAAAAUGCGAUGGAACAAUAACGUAUAACGCGAAGUGAUAAUUCGUAAACUAAAAUAUACGCUAAUGAUCGACAAAGAAUCAAUGAAUACGAGUAAGCAAUACAAUACAUCAUAUAAGAGCAACAAUCUCAUAUCCCACAUUAUGCAAAUACUAACAUCCAUUUUAGCAAGCUAAAUGAAUUAAAAGUUAAUUAAAGAACAGCAAGCAAAUUAAUGUAAAUCUAAUAUAACAAGCUUUAAAAUAAAAUAAAAAUAAAAAUCAUGAAAAAGAGGAAAAUUCAAACACUAAAUUGUAUGUAUAAAAUAUUUGGCACAAAUAAUAUAUAGGAAAACUUGCAAUAAAAAAAUGAAGAAAAUAAAGAAUAAAUAAGAUGCAAAAUAAUACAUGUUCAUCUAAAUAAGUAGUACAUAUAAAAUAAAAUUUUAAUAUAAAUGUUGAAAUAAACAAAGCGUGUAAUUGAACAUCAUUUCCACUAACUAGAUCCUUCUUCGUCAACUGCUGCGAUUGCCUUUCUUUGACUUUCUUUUUCGCCUCUUCUCAUGUUGGUUUUCAACCAAAUUCACCAACCAUUUCGGUUUUCCAGUUUGGAAAACAACAUAUCCCACCAACAUUCCGAACACUACUCCGCAUCCAUAACCUAUCAACACCACUUUCCAACCAAAAGUAAUGUUUGAUUUUGAGCCAUCUUUUUCAAGCACAUCUGGAGGUGUUGGCGCAAUGAUGUUGCAACCUUUCGAGACCGGAAACCCACAUAUGAAUCAUUUCCAAAUGUGUUGAAUUGUUUGCCUUGAGGAAUCUGACCAUGGAGUUGAUUUUCAGAAACAUUUAAGGACAAAAGAAAUGGCAGAUCUACCAAUCUAUUUGGAAUGGUUCCAGACAACCUGUUUGAAGAUAGUGUUGGCACAUAAUUAAAUUAACCUUGCACAAAUAAAUUAUGAAAAGUUAGAAGAGUGAAGAGACUUGAAUAUGAAAAGUGAAAAAACUUGAAUAUGAAUAGUGAAGAGACUUGAAGAUGAAAAGUUAAGAGGCUUGAAUAUGAAAAGAUACACACAUGCAUGAAUAGUCACAACUCCUAGCAUAUAGUGAUAUAGAUGAAUAGUCACUUACAACUCCUAUAUAAAGAGUUGUAUGUGAUGAAGAAUUAUUAACUUUGUGUGCUUGAAAUAAAAGAUUAUUUGAAAGAAUUUUUUCAUACAAAAUUUAUUUCUCUUCUCCAUUAUAUUCUUUAUCAUUUUCUUUGUUUUAUUUCUCCAAAUAUUAAUCAUUCAACUACAAAUUGGUAUCAAAGCCUUGUUCAAUCGAAAUGAACAAUUCUAUUCCUCUUUCUUCCGUUCCCCAAUUAACCAAAGAAAAUUAUGGCAAAUGGAGUAUCCAAAUGAAGGCUCUUCUUGGAUCUCUAGAAGUUUGGGAGAUUGUUGAAAAAGGUUAUAAUGAAGUUGAGGGUGAAGAGGAGGAAGGAUUAACACAAGUUCAAAAAGAGAGUCUAAGAAAAUCAAGGAAGAAAAAUCAGCAAGCCUUAUUUUGGAUAUAUCAAGGAGUUCAAUCAUAUGAAGCGGCUUGGGAAAAAAUAGCUUGUGCCACCACGGCAAAACAAGCAUGGGAAUUUUUACAAAAUUCAUUCAAAGGAGAUGAAAAGGUGAAAAGAGUUCGGUUGCAAACUCUUUGAGGAGAGUUUGAAAGAUUGCAAAAAAUAGAGUCAGAAUCAGUUUCUGAUUACUGUUCACGGGUUUUGUCCAUAGUCAAUCAAUUAAAAAGAAAUGGUGAAACUAUGGAUGAUAUUCGUGGUGUUGAGAAAAUCCUCCGUUCUUUAGAUUCCAAAUUUGACUACAUUGUGGUUGCCAUAGAAGAAUCAAAGGACUUGAGUACCAUGACUAUUGAUGAACUCACAGGUUCGUUGCAAGCCCAUGAAGAAAGAUUAAACAAGAAGAAAAAGGAAGUAGAUCUAGAUCAAGCACUUCAGUCAAAGUUGUCUCUAAAUGAGAAUAAGGGAGAUUUUAAAAAUCAAAGAGGGAGAGAUCGUGGUCGUGGAAGAGGAAGAAAUUUUAGAGGAAGAGGCUCAAAUGCUCGUGAAAGAGGUGAAGAUGUAAGCAUGGAGAAUGGAUGGAAAGAAGCCAACCAAAGUCAAAAUUUUAGAGGAUCACAAAGAGGACGUGGACGUAGAAAUCAAAGAGGAAGAGGUCGUGGCUAUUUUGAAUGUUAUAAUUGUCGCAAACCUGGUCAUUUGGCAAGUGAAUGCUGGUACAAAGAAGAAGAGAAAAAUGAAGCUAAUAUAGUACAAAAUAAUCAAGAGCAAAAGCAAGAAACUUUGUUGCUCGUAUCUCAUGGUGGAGAGAUUGAUGAUGUCUGGUACAUAGACAGUGGUGCUAGCAAGCAUAUGACAGGUAACAAAAAUUUAUUUUCGAAGUUCUUUGAAUCUGAUUGUGGAGAAGUAAAAGUAGGAGAUGGCAAAGCUUACAAAGUUAGCGGUGUUGGUGAGUUGGAGUUCAAAACAAAGCAAGGAAGGGUAGAGAAAAUGUCUGAAGUUUAUUUUGUUCCUGGUCUUAAAAAUAAUCUGCUUAGCGUUGGGCAUCUCUUGAAGAAGGGGUAUGAUAUUCAUUUCCGAGACAUGGCUUGCUAUUUAUCAAAGAAAAAUCAGGUUGUUGCUAGAGUUGGAGUGGCAUCAAAUAAUCUUUUCUCUCUUACCCUUCAAAAUCAGAAUAUGUCUUGUUUUAUUGGUGCUCAUAAAGGAAUUUCAAAGUUAUGGCAUGAUAGAUAUGGACAUUUAAACUAUGGAAAUUUGGAGAUGCUUUCAAGGAAGAUGAUGGUUAGAGGUUUACCAAAAAUCGAUCGGCUUGAUGAUGUUUGUGAAGCAUGUCAACUUGGAAAGCAACAUAAAAUUGCUUUUCCUUCUCAAUCCUCGUGGAAAGCAAGAAGACCAUUGCAACUUAUUCACUCAAAUCUUUGUGGUCCAAUGACAGUUUCAUCUUUAGGAGGUAAUCGUUACUUUAUCUCUUUCAUUGAUGAUUACUCAAGAAAGUUAUGGGUGUAUUGUGUCAAAGAAAAAUCAGAGGCUUUUCAGAGAUUCAAAGAUUUCAAGGCAGAAGUGGAGAACUUUACUGGGUUGAAAAUUAACACCUUGCGUACAGAUCGUGGAGGUGAAUAUUUUUCAAAAGAAUUUGAGAAAUAUUGCCGAGAUAGUGGCAUCCGGCAUGAAAUGACAGUCCGCCAUACACCUCAGCAAAAUGGUGUGUGUGAAAGAAAGAACAGAACAAUUAUGGAAAUGGCUAGAUGUCUUCUUAAUAAGAAGAGGUUAUCAAGAAGAUUUUGGGCUGAAGUUGUUUCCUGUGCAGUUUAUCUUAUAAACAGAUCACCGACAAGAAGCUUGGAGAAUUACACACCACAUGAGGCGUGGUAUGGUAUAAAGCCUAGUGUUAGUCAUCUUAGAGUAUUUGGGAGUGUUGCCUACUCUCUAUUCCAGAUGCAAUGAGAAGCAAGUUGGAUGACAAGUCAGAGAAAUGCAUUUUUAUUGGCUAUAGUGAAAGAAGUAAGGCAUACAAGUUGUAUAAUCCGGUGACAAAGAAGAUUGUGAUAAGCCGAGAUGUUCGGUUUGAUGAAAAUUCCAUGUUUGAAGAUAUGGAAGUUGAAAAGGAAAAUUUGCCAAUUUUUCCUUUUGAACUUGAAGAAGAAGAAGAGGCAGUAAUUGAGAAUGCUGAAGAUGAUGCUCAAGUAGAAAAUCCUCCUGCUUCCCCAUGUUCUUCAUCAAAUUCUUCUUCAUCCAGCCCGAUCCGAAAAACGAGAAGCAUCCAAGAGUUAUAUGAUGUAACGGAUGAAGUUGUGCAAAAUGAUGCUGUAUUCUUUGCCUUCUUUGCAGGAGAAGAUCCAAUUUCUUUUGAUGAUGCAUAUCAAGAAGAAAUAUGGAGGAAAGCCAUGAAAUAAGAGAUUUUCUCAAUUGAAAACAAUGAUACAUGGGAACUCACAGAUUUACCGCCGCACAAGAAUUCAAUUGGAGUCAAAUGGGUGUACAAGACAAAGAUGAAUCCGAAUGGCUCUAUCAACAAGUACAAGGCAAGACUGGUUGCAAAAGGAUACAAGCAAAAGGAAGGAGAAGAUUUUACAGAGGUAUUUGCUCCAGUUUCAAGACUUGAGACAGUUCGGUUACUUAUUUCUCUUGCUGCCCAAAAUAAUUGGAAAAUAUUCCAAAUGGACGUAAAAUCUGCGUUUUUGAAUGGUGUUCUCAAAGAAGAAGUCUAUGUUGAUCAACCACCAGGGUUUGUCAAAAAAGGAGAAGAAGAAAAAGUUUACAAGUUGAAGAAAGCUUUGUACGGGUUGAAGCAAUCACCCAGAGCAUGGUACAGCCGCAUCGAUUCUUAUUUUCAGAAGUGUGGAUUCCAGAAAUCUCCAUAUGAGCAUACUCUCUACAUCAAAGGCAAUUAUCAAGGAAGAUUCAUGGUUGUAAGUCUCUACGUUGAUGAUCUUAUUUUCACAGGAAAUGAUGUGAAGAUGUUGAAAGAAUUUCAGCACUCAAUGAUGGCAGAAUUUAAGAUGACAGAUUUGGGAGAACUUCAUCAUUUUCUUGGCAUUGAAGUUCAUCAAUCCGAGAAAGGAAUUUUUAUUUCACAAGAGAGCUACGCAAAGGAAGUUCUAAAAAAAUUCAUGAUGGAAAAUGCGAAUCCAGUCUCUACUCCAUGCAUUACAGGUCUGAAGUUAUCUAAAGAGGGUGAAGGAAAGCUUGUCAAUUCCACCAUAUUCAGAAGUUUGGUUGGGAAGUUGAUGUAUCUGACUUCGACAAGGCCUGAUAUCGUGUAUGUUGUUAGCUUGGUAAGUAGAUUCAUGGAGAAACCUUACUCCAAUCACUGGGAGGCUGCCAAGAGAAUAUUGAGAUAUGUGAAGGGAACCAUUGAUUAUGGAAUUUUCUAUAAAUCUAAUACAUUAGUUGAUCUCAUUGGUUAUACGGAUAGUGAUUUAGCAGGAAGCAUUGAUGAUAGCAGAAGCACUUCUGGUUAUGUUUUUCACCUUGGUAGUGGUGCAGUUUCAUGGAGUUCAAAGAAACAAUCAAUUGUGGCGCUUUCGACUAUAGAAGCUGAAUAUAUCGCUGCAUCUUAUGCAGGAUGUCAAUUGAUUUGGUUACGUGGAAUUUUGGAAAGUCUUAAGCAGAAGCAAAGCAAGUCAACAAUUUUGUUUUGUGACAAUAGUUCUACUAUUUCGGUCACAAAAGAUCCAAUUCUUCAUAGAAGGACAAAACACAUUCGCAUUCGAUAUCACUUCUUGAGAGAACUAGUGAAUAAUGGUGAUGUUCAAGUUGAAUAUUGCAAGACGGAAGAUCAGAUGGCUGAUAUCUUCACAAAGCCUCUAAGUGGACAAGUCUUCAAGAAAAAUGUUGAAAGGUUGGGAGUUCAAAGCAAGUUUAAUUUAAGGGAGGCAUUGUUGGCACAUAAUUAAAUUAACCUUGCACAAAUAAAUUAUGAAAAGUUAGAAGAGUGAAGAGACUUGAAUAUGAAAAGUGAAAAAACUUGAAUAUGAAUAGUGAAGAGACUUGAAGAUGAAAAGUUAAGAGGCUUGAAUAUGAAAAGAUACACACAUGCAUGAAUAGUCACAACUCCUAGCAUAUAGUGAUAUAGAUGAAUAGUCACUUACAACUCUUAUAUAAAGAGUUAUAUGUGAUGAAGAAUUAUUAACUUUGUGUGCUUGAAAUAAAAGAUUAUUUGAAAGAAUUUUUUCAUACAAAAUUUAUUUCUCUUCUCCAUUAUAUUCUUUAUCAUUUUCUUUGUUUUAUUUCUCCAAAUAUUAAUCAUUCAACUACAGAUAGGUCCAACCAUUCAAGACUUGUCAAAUCCCCUACUGAGGUAGGGAUACCACUAUUAAGGUUAUUAUGAGAAAGGUUGAGCCCUUUCAGUAAGUUAAGCUUCCCAAUAACCUUUGGAAUCUCCCCUUCAAACUGAUUGCUUGAUAGAUCAAUGAUCACCCACAUAGUGAAAAUUUUCACCAAUUCCACGUCUUGUCCUUUCAUAACAAUUCCAAUGGAAUAGGCAUAGAAGUCAUCUCCAUCAUUCACCCCCAUGUACGACACUGUACUACUAACCUUCUCUAGAUUUAUGAUAGCCUUGAAGCUGUUGAUGUAUCUCACUAGUAGGGGUCCAGAAAAAUAAUUACUUGAGAGGUCAAAAAUUUGGAUUUUAGAGAAAAAAGGGCUAGACUUGGAGUUAUUGACACACAGGGAACCAUGCAUUUGAUUUGACUUUAGUACAAGAACUUGUAGCUGUGGAAGACUUCCCAACCAAUGAGGAAAUGUAUCAUUGAUCUUGUUGUUACCAAGAUCUAGUACUUCCAGACCUCUACAAUUAAGGAUGGAUGGUGUCAAAGGCCCUCCUAACAGAUUUCCAUUUAAAUUGAAAUUACUCAAUUGGCAUCCCAUUGCAAAUGUUGGAGGAAUCGUCCCAUAGAACUUGUUCUUCUUCAGAUUCAAGAAUUGAAGGCUGUUGCUCAAAUUUCCAAAACACUGCGGAAUUGUUCCACUCAAGUAAUUGUGGGACAAAUCAAGAAUUUGAAGAUAAGUGGCAUUGCAUAUUAAUGAAGAGACCUCUCCAUUGAAACAAUUAUUUGAGAUCAAAAAGACAGUGAUGGUCGAAGCUGGAAUCGGAAGAUUUCCACUGAUCAAAUUGGAGCUUAAGUCAAGAACAUCAAUAUUCUUCCAUGGAAAGUGCUCAGCUUCUGUCAAAGAGUUGUGAAAUACAUUUAAGUAAGUCAAAGAGCCAUUCCCCACCUCUUGCAUCCACUAUGGAAUCUUGCCUUUAAUUUUGUUGCAAGAGAGGUCUAAGCUUUCCAAACUUUUAAGCCCUUUUAAAAAUUGGGGGAAUUCACUAAGAUUGCAAGAUGACAAAAAUAACCAUUCAAGAUUUCCACUGAUCAAAUUGGAGCUUAAGUCAAGAACAUCAAUAUUAUGACGAUAUAUAAGUUUCCCUUUAUUUUUUAAAAAAAAACCUCGUCUCGAGAUAUCGAAAGGUCAUAUCCAAUGAGUUAGGACACAACGUUUUGAAUUCCCGAGAUAAGCUUUAAUUUGAAAUUUUUAUAUUUUAAUUAAAAAAUGAUACUCAGUUACUUAAAUUCAACGAGGAAAAUUGGAGCCCAGUAAGUUAGGGCACAUUCUUCUCGAAAAUCUUGGAUACCGGGUAUUACGUUAUUUUGAAAACCUUUGAAUAAAACGAUUUCUAUACUUUGAUUAAAUGCAACCUUUUAAACGAAUAAAAUGCGAUGGAACAAUAACAUACAACCCGAAGUGAUAAUUCGUAAACUAAAAUAUAUGCUAAUGAUUGACAAGGAAUCAAUGAAUACGAGUAAGCAAUACAAUACAUCAUAUAAGAGCAACAAUCUCAUAUCCCACAUUAUGCAAAUACUAACGUCCAUAUUAGCAAGCUAAAUGAAUUAAAAGUUAAUUAAAGAACAGCAAGCAAAUUAAUGUAAAUCUAAUAUAACAAGCUUUAAAAUAAAAUAAAAAUAAAAAUCAUGAAAGAGAGGAAAGUGCUAAGGGAUAAGAUUGAAGGCCCGUAAUAUGAUCGCAAGACAAAGAAGCACGCUCUGUUAUGGAAAAAGAGUUCUUGAACUGGAUUAAUGAAGAGCAGGAGUGAGAUCCUGAAGAAGAAAAAGAAGCAUAAAGAUGGGGAAAAAAGAGGAAUAGGGAGAGAAAGAGAUAGGAGGCCAUGUUAUGUUUGUAGAGGAAGAAGGAUAGGAAUGGUAUUUAUAGGCAACAAAUAAUACCACAACAUUGGUGUUACAGUCUUUUUUUUCUUUUACAUUGAAAUGCUACAGAUAUUAGAUUUUCAAAAUAUUUGUAUUUUUCACAAUCAUCAACACUUAGUCGUCAUUUUACCAUAUAUUUUUCAUUCUUUUUUUUUUUAACAAAAUCUUGUAUAUCAUUUGGACUCGCUAAACAACUAAAAAAAUAAAGAUUGAUGAGAUUACAAAGUAGAUUGACUUAGUCUUCUUCCCUAUAACAUGUAAAGAAUGUAUGUGUCUAUUCAAUUGCCUGUCAACCAAAGCUUAUUAAUGUGGAAAUUCUUUUCCACACAAAAGAACAAAAUUGUGCUCUAUUCAGCUACGUUUGAGGAAGGAGACGGCUGGAAAUUUAAUCCACCGAUUCCAUAAAAACGUGUAUAUUUAUUUAUAAAUAUAUAUAUAACCUCAUGAUUCAAAUCUAAAAUCUCAUUUGUUAUAAAUUCUUAUAAAUUUAUUUGGGAAUAGUUAUUUUUCAUUCGUUAAUUAUUUCUCUUUUAGCCGUGAAACUUAUAUGGUUCGUUAAAUCGCCCCAAAAAAUGAUAAAAAAGAUUAACAAAACUAGCCCCUACGUGGCUGAUGUUGACCCUUAGUAGUUAAUGGCAACUCCUAUGUAAUUGUUAACAGAUACCACAGCAACAAUGUUUGUUGACGUGACAAUGCCACAUGACCAAUAAUCGUUGUCAUGGUAGUGCCACGCCGUCACCCAUUGAUGACAUAUUAACCUUCGAGUUAAACUCAAAUUGCUCUUUCCUUUGUUAUAAAUUAAGAGUAUAACUAAUUUUGAUAAGAAUAGUUACUUUUCAUUAACUCAGUUUAAAGGACUAUAACACGUAAAGUUUGGUCUAUUGCAGAAUUCACAUGCAAUGCGGGAUAUUUACAUUUUGAAGAAUUCAACACAUAUAUGGGAAUUUUUGUAUUUCCACAAUCAUAAUUUUGUUAGUGAUCAACAACUACUUCCUCCUUACCAUAUAUUUUUCAUUCAUAAAAUUGAUUACUUUUUUUAUCAAAGAAGUAAAAUAAUUAACAUUCUUAAGAUUACAAAGUCUUCUUCCUUAUAACACGUAAAGUUUAGUUCCAAAUAAUUUUCCACAAAAAAAAGACCAUCAAUUGUCGAUUGACUAUACUUUAACUCCAAAAAAAAGACUAAGACUAUCAAUUGUCUAUUGACUACACUUUAACUCGACAAAAAAGGACUAAGACUAAGACUUUCAAUUGUCUAUUGACUUCACACUUGCGGUUGCUUCCUCCUAUCUCUCUCACCCAAACUUAAUUUAGAAGCAAUGGGGAAAUUUUGGACAUUUGGGCCACAAUGAACAAUACUUCCACACCAUUUGCAGUAUUGACUACGUUUACUUGAGGGAAAACAAAGACAUGAAUGCUGGAAAUUUUAACUAGUUUGUACCGUCAAUGAAGCUACGUACCUAAAAGCCUUUUAGGAUAUCAAUUCCUGUAAUUGGAUUAAUCUCAUCGUUGCUGCAAUCUUUUGACAGUGUAAUCGAAUCUUAAAUAUGUUACUCUGCAAUGCUGUUGUAAAAAUUACUCUUAAAAUUGUCGAUAGAUAUAUAGGUUUGGCACAAAAUUAAGAAUACACAAAGGCAGGUUGAAUUAUUCCAUGUUUGAACAUAAAUUCAUAUGGCAAAAGGGCCCAAACCAUACCUUAUGUUCAUGAAUUCUCAUCAUCACAUGUUUAUAAAUGCAUCUCAAAACUUGAAUAAUUGAAUCUUUUGUAAUUCUACAUGUAUUUUUUUUUAUGGUGAGCAGUAUAAUGUUUACUAAAAAUUGAAAUUCAAGAAAGAAGACAUACAUAGUUGCACCAUACAAGUUGUUACACUCGAACUAAACCCUUACAAAUAGUACGAGAUGCAAUGAAAUACAGAGGAAUUGGUACAAUCAUAAAGACAGACACAUACCAAUGCAACUUUUCACCAUAGGAAAAACUUUCUGACAGACUACUAAACAAGAAAUUAUGAAGACACAGCAGAAAUGCUUUGACUUCUUUUGCACCAACUAGAUCCUUCUUCAUCCAUUGAUGCGAUUGCUAUAUUUUGGCUUUCUUCUUCGCCUCUUCUCAUGUUGGUUUUCAACCAAAUUCACAAACCUUUUCACCUUACCGGUUUGGAAAACAACAUAUCCCAUGGCCAUUCCAAACACUACCCCGCAUCCACAACCUAUCAACACCACUAUCCAACCAAAAGCAAUGUUUGCUUUUGAGCCAUCCUUUUCCAGCACAUUUGGAGGUGGUGUCUCAUUGAUGCUGCAACCUUUGGAGACUGGGAAUCCACAUAGUCUCUGUUUCCUUCAUAUGAAUUGUUUCGAAAUGUAUUGACAAUCUGACCAUGGAGUUGAUUUUCAGAAACGUUUAAGAAGAAAAGAAAUGCCGGAUCUGCCAAUAUCUCUGGAAUUAACUCAGUUCAAAUGACCAUAUAACUCGUAAAGUUUGGUCGAAGACUGGCAGCGUCUAUUGACUUCAACUCUUGCUAUUACCUCAAGAAGAAAGACUGCUACAAUUCUAUCUUCUUUAAACCAGCUAUUUAAAAGCAAUAAGGACAUUAAAUCCACCAAUUUAUCUUUGAAGUCAUUCGUCAUGCAGCUCUGCUAUGUACGAUUAUUGGCAAAAAUCUUGAAAGGAGACAACCUCAAAUUUGAAGACAAGAAAUGAGCAAGAACAUGCACCAACGAAGAAUCGAUUAUUGUUUUGUAUUUGGUAAAUACAAUUUGAGUUAAAUAAUCAAGAAUGAUAGUGAAUAAAUAAGGAAAAACAAUGUAGAUUCAGAACCACAAUAAAUCAUAUUAAGCUCAUGAGUUUAUAAUAUAUAUCUCUGCAGCUUGAUUGCCUUGUUAGCUAUAAACAUAACCUGUUAAUUCCAUCAUUAAUACCAUUAGAUAUAUUUUGAUGGGGGAGAUUUUUUAGUAGGAAAACAGUUGAAGUCAUUCAAGAAGACAUAAACAGCUGCAACUACGUAAGAGUUUAACUUUGAGAAUAGAUCCUUACACGUUAUUGAAAUGCCAUACUAAAGAUAAAGACAUAUAGCUAAACGUUAGACACACCAUAAAAAUAUAUAUAGGUAAAGUGAUAGGGUGUGAGUAAGGAGGCCAUGCUAUGUUUUCAAAUAAGAUUAUCAUGGUAUGAAUUAUGAGAACCCUAUUUAUAGGAAGAACAAAACCGAUAUGAAACUAAGAAUAUAGUCCAUUGAUAAUGAAGAAUCUAAGAAAUUUAAUGGAAAUUGUGGAUAAGCAUCGUGUUUUUAUCUCUGAUGGAGAAAAGCUAAGAGUGUGAGGAAGACCAACUGUCAAUGUCACCCAAACCGAAUCUACAAGUCACCACAAUGUACAGUAAUUCAAAGCAGGAAAAGUUCAUAGUUUCAGAGUAAAUAACACUUCAAUGAUUGUAUUAUAGAAAACAUGUGUAUCCUAUAUAUGUUGAACAAUAUUAUCUAACAAACAUAUUUUCCAAAAGACUAGAAAAUUUGUGAUUAAAUGCUAAAGUUACAUAUUUUAUGUAAUUAAAUUGGUUAAUUUAUGAGAGUGCACCACUAAUUUUUCCAUGUUUUUGUUGAAUUUUGUGCAGGGGUGCAAUUUGGGGCUAAAUAGAAGAAAAAGGAAACAAUUGGGCUAGAUUGAAGAGAGAAGCAAAGAAGGAGGGCCAAAACAGAAUUUUUCCAGAUUAAUUAGCUGAAAUUUUUGUUGACUUAGUGGGAGAUUAUUUUGGGAUUUUUUUUUAUAUCAUGGAAUAUUUUUCCUUAAUUUUCUAUACUAGUUGGCUUUUAAUUUAGCAAGGCCACUAGUAUAAAUAGAGGCUACAUUGUUCAUUUUAAUCAUCAAGUCUUGAAUCAAUUCAUAAAUCAAGCUUUCAUCUUUCAAUACAUUCUCUCUUUUCUACUCACAAAUUUAUUUGUUGUUUUUAGUUUCAUUUACUUUCAAUCCAUUAAUUUCCAGCUUGUUACCACUUAAACCAUUUUCAAUUUCUUUUUCAAACUUUCUUUCCAUCUCCAGUAGCUAAUUCACUUUAUUACACCCCCAAAAUUCCAGCCCCCCAAACUAAAUCACGCCACCCAUUCCUUUCACCCAUUUUACCUUAUUUAAUUUAUCCAAUACCAACAUGCCCCAAACCUUAGCCAACUAAAUUCAUUUCCAGCUUUAGGUCGGAAUUAGCCUCGUCAAAACCCGUGAGUUACGAACCCGAGCAAAUUAACUCCUAAAUUUUAGUACUUAUUAUUUCUCCGGAUUAAGAGUAUGAUUUUGUCAACUCACAAAGUCAGAUCAACAUUAAGUUAAAAAAGACGUCGUUUGAUUUAGUGUGGUUAGACGUACAGUUGGAAUUCCAAAAAGAUCGAUUCUAAUCGGUUUUCUGUGAACACAUUGGCGUGCCAAUUGGAGAUUGCUGUUUGGUUCCGUCAAGGGAAGUAGUAACCCGAUUUAAAUGUCCCACGCGGUUGAGGGCAUUGGUUCGAGCUAGGGUUUUCUAGAACGCAAAGCUGCCGGAGUUCUAAAUCACGAACAUUUCGUGGUUGUUCGAUCAGUAAGGGUUAGUUAUUGGACGUUCCAUAACUAAUUUACACAAGGAAGAGUUAGUGUCUGAGGCGUCCUUGGUAGCUAUAACUAGCUUAUUGGAAAAGAGGAGUUCAUCUAAUUUUGAGAAUCGGUUCAAAGACGAGGAAAAUUCGUGCCUAAAGCUGAGCUUAUUCUAAUUAAAUUUUCUUCAUAUUUAUUUAACUAUUUUAAUUAUUCUGUUUUCAACUUUAUCUUUUCACGCAUUUUAUUUAUUUAUUUCAGGUCUUCAAAUUUUAUCCCCCCGAACUUCUUGGGCACGACAACUGCCCCAACAUAAAUCUGGUCAAAAUAGAAACAAUUUGCAGUAAACCCAGUCUCUGAGGGAUCGACCCUACUCCCUAUACUGUUUAAAUCGCAAAUUAGGCGUAGGUUUAUAUUGGUGGAUUCGACACCCAUCAAUUUGUAUGUCAUUUUCUAUUACUUGCAAGAAAACUACAGGGGAAAUUGCAUUUCUAAUUCAUCCAUAGGCUUUAAAUUCAAACAAGAAAAAGGAAAAAGAAUAUAUAUAUAUCAACAGGAAACUUCAAGGAGAGAAAUUUUGUUACAUCAAUUUUCCAGUCAUAUUUAAUCUUUACCCAAAGUUGAUUCUAGAUUAAAUUUGGAAAAAAUUAAAAAAGAGGACAUGUAUUUUUUUUUAUUUUUGAAAAGUAAAGGAUUAUAUCUCAGCCAAAUAAAAAAGUCACAAUGCAAAGCCAAGAGCCAAAGCCAAGCCAAGCACACACUCAACUAGCAGACAUAACUCAUACAGGACCUAGAUGUAUUAUUGAACUCUUAUAUAAAAGACAACUGAAGAUGCAAAGCUUAAUUGUUAAGCUUUUCUGAUGCUUGAUAAGCAUAGUUUUAGUUCAGUUCCGAAAUCUAAACUGCUUUGCUAUGGGAUUAUUUUUAUAAGUACAUUGAGAUCAAUGCAUGCUAUUGCGAUUUAUUAUCUUUGAUGCCAAGGAAAUGACAGAAUUCAAAGACCAAAAGGUUCGAUUACAUACUAGAUCAUGGAUGUAAGCCAAUCUACAACCUCUCUCCUCGACCUCCAUGUGAAACCAGCAUGAUUUGAAUUCUCAGCCGCAUAUACCCUCACAAACUCCUCAGCAACAACAUAAAACAUAUACCUAACACUCCUUUGAGAACCGAUAACUGCACAGACAGAUUCACUAAUGGAAGCCUUCAAGAAAUAUUGAACCACACAAUUACCACACUUCUGUGAAAUAAACUUGUUGGUGCAAAGAGACAACAAUAGACUGUUUUCAAUCUUGCUUGUAUAGCAAGCCUCGAGCCUUGCUGAAGAAACAAACUCAAAAGCAAGAACAGAAACACAUGCGAAUGAAAAACAAAAGAAAUUGAGAGAGAGAGUAUUUUGAAUGAAAAGAGCUGAUAUUUCAUUAACAAAUCCAGAAGGCAUAAUGCCAUUACAUAUAAUAGAUAACAACAACAAAAUGAACAAGUCUUUACCUAAUGACAUACCUAACACCACUAAAUUUACAUUGGAAAUUGUUAAUCAGCUUGCUUAAGUUUCUUUGCUGAUUUUUUCAGUCAAUCAAUCAACAAAAAACAUCAUAAGGUUUACCAACUUAGUUCAACAUGAACUAGAUUACAAAAUAAUAAUUAAAAAUACAAUCAAAACAUAACAAGUAGUUAGGCAACUUUAAGCUCCAGUUUCUGCACUUCAUAGCUCGACUGCUUGCUGCCACUUCUCCUUGCAUGGCCACCUUUGCAUGUCUUGCAUGGGAACUAAAUUCAACACUCCUCCUUAGUUUCCAUGCUAGUGACACCUAAUUGCCUUCUUAAUUUAACAAAUUUAGACACAUUGAGUGCCUUUGUAAAGAUAUCAGCAAUUUGCUCUUCUGAAUUGCAAUGAACCAGCUCGAUUUCAUGAGCUUGCUCCAUCUCCCUUAUGACAUGUAGCUUGAUGUUGAAGUACUUUGCUCUACCAUGAAAGAUAGGAUUCUUUGCAAUUGCAACAGCAGAUUUGUUGUCACAGUAAAUCUCUGUUGCCUUUCCUUGAUUUUGAUUUAAAUCAGCUAGGAUUUUUCUAAGCCAUAUGGCUUGAUUUACAGCAGAUGCAGCAGCAACAUAUUCAGCUUCUGCUGUUGACUGUGCUACCAGACUUUGCUUUUUAGAACUCCAGCAAAACAUGCCUGAGCCAAGACUAAAGGCAUAUCCAGAUGUGCUUCUCAUGUCAUCACAAGAUCCAGCCCAGUCACUAUCAACAUAGCCUAUUAGCUUCAUGUUUAUAGCCCUUUUGAACAAUACACCAUGAUCAAUGGUGCCUUUGAUGUAUCUAAGCACUCUUUUAGCUGCUUGAAAGUGCUGAUCAUUGCAGCAAUUCAUGUAUCUGGAUAGCACACUAACAGCAAACAUGAUAUCGGGUCUUGUUGCAGUCAAAUACAACAGACUACCAAUGAGACUUUUGUACAUAGUCUCGCAAAUUGGUUCACCACUCCCUUGCCUCGAAAGCUUCACUCCAACAGCCAUUGGUGUGCUUGUUGGCUUGCAGUUCUUCAUAGAGAACUUAUCCAGGAUCUUCAUAGUAAAAGAACUCUGACUAAGAAAGAUUCCCUUUGCUGUUUGCUUCACUUCCAUUCCAAGGAAGUAGUUCAUUCUGCCUAAAUCAGACAUUUCAAACAUUUCCAUCAUUUUUCUUUUGAAAUCUUCCAGCAUUCUUCUAUCUCCUCCAGUCACCAAUAAAUCAUCAACAUAGAGUGACAGGAUAAGCUGAGUUUCAGCUUGGUUCUUCUUCACAUACAGUGUUGGUUCACUGAGACUUCUCUCGAAUUCCAAACUGAGCAAGUAAGAAUCAAUUCGAGCAUACCAGGCUCAAGGAGCCUGUUUUAGGCCAUACAAAGCCUUUUUCAGUCUGUACACCUUGUGUUCUUUGCCAGUGACCACAAAUCCUUGAGGCUGUUCGAUGUAGAUCUCUUCUUCCAGGAAACCAUUGAGAAAUGCAGACUUAACAUCAAGCUGAUGAAUGGUCCACUGAUGUUGAGCAGCCAAGGCAACUAUCAUUCUAACUGUGUCAAGCCUGGCUACUGGUGCAAAUGUCUCCAGAUAGUCCAGACCAUACCUUUGGCUAAAACCUUUGACAACAAGCCUGGCUUUUAGCUUGUUCAGACUGUCAUCUGCAUUCUGUUUUGCUCGAUAGACCCAUUUUACUCCAAUGGUCUUCUUUCCAGUAGGUUUAUCAACUAGCUCCCAUGUCUGGUUCUUCUCAAUCAUGUUGAUUUCAUCGACCAUAGCUAGUUUCCAGCCUUCAUCUGCCUCAGCCUCUUCAAAACUGCUAGGUUCUGCUAUUGCAACCUGUGCCCUUUCAUAAAUAUCAUCUAGGGGCCUUGUGCCUCUCACAAGCACAUCAUCAACAUCCAUUUCAGGUCCUAGCUGCUCAAGUUCAGCUUGAUUAGGCACCAGGUCUUCUGAAGCAGCUUCUGGUUCAUUCUUUUCCCAAUUCCAACAAGCCUUCUCAUCGAAGAUGACAUCUCUGCUCACUUGAACUAUGUUUGUCAAAGGAUCCAGCACCCUGUAGCCCUUCUUAACUGAGCUAUAGCCUACUAGAACACCUGGUUGAGCCCUUUCAGAGAGCUUGUCUCUCUUAACUGCUGGUAUUUGUGCAUAACACAGGCAACCAAACACCUUCAGAUGUACCAAGGAAGGCUUGAAACCGGACCAAGCCUCGAAAGGUGUUUUGGAUGCAAGAGCUUUGGUAGGAAGCCUAUUUUGAAGGUAGACAGCAGUGUUUACUGCCUCAGCCCACAUGGUCUUGGGCAGUUUCUUCUCAAACAGCAGGCACCUGGCCAUAUCCAUCAAGCUUCUGUUCUUUCUUUCUGAUACCCCAUUCUGCUGAGGUGUGUAGACAUUUGUAAGCUGGUGUUUGAUACCAGCAUCAUUGCAAAUGGCUUGAAACUGAGCUGAAGUGUACUCAGUGCCAUUGUCUGACCUUAUCGAUUUCAGCUUGCAACCUGUUUCUGUCUCUACAGCAAUUUUAAACUUCACAAACACUUGAGCUACCUCAAACUUGUGUUUUAAGAAGAAAAUCCAGCAAAACCUUGUAAAAUCAUCAAUGAAGAGGAUGAAAUACCUAUUUUUCUUGAGUGAUUCAGUCCUCAUCGGGCCACAUACAUCAGAGUGCACCAGCUGUAGUUUUUUAGUAGCUCUCUAAGCUGAAUUUGUAGGAAAUGGCAGUCUUGCCUGUUUCCCCAUCUGGCAAACUUCACACACAUCAUCAUGCUCCACUGAGCUAGUAAAGUUCUCUGCCAAGCCUUCUUUGGCCAUUCGAGCCAAUGAUCUGAAGUUGGCAUGCCCAAGCCUUUGAUGCCAAAGCUUGGAAUCAUCAACAGAGGCUGUAUAUGCAGACUUUGAGUCAUUUGGCCAGUGUACCUCAAAGCAUUUGUUAGUCAUUGUGACUGUCAUAAGGCUUGAUCCACUUGGAUCAGCAAUGUGGCACUGUUUGUUCUUGAACACAACAGAAUAGCCUUUCUUGAGCAAUUGAGCUAUGCUGAGAAGGUUUCUGUCGAUUUCUGGCACUAACAGCACAUUUGGAAUGAUCUUGUUGCCUGUGGGGGUACAUAUCAGCACCUCUCCUCUUCCUUCAGCCCUUAUGAACUGACCAUUUCCAACCUUGACCUUGGUUUUACAACUUCUAUCCAAGGUUUUAAAUAAGGAGGCAUCUGGUGACAUGUGGUUAGUGCAACCACUGUCCAAUAACCAGCCUUUUGAGCAUUUCUUCUCAGCAGCUAAGAAAGAAACAGCAAAGACCUGCUCUUCUUGAUCACUACUGUCCUCAGCUACUCGAGCUUCAACCUUUGGUUGUUGAAAUUGACUCUGCCUUGACUUGGUUUUAUUUUUGCAAACCCUUUCAACAUGGCCUUUCUUCUUGCAGUGUUGGCAUACUGCAUCUGGCCUGAACCAGCAUCUGUCUUCUGGAUGACCUGGCCUCUUGCAAUGUCUGCAGGGCUGGUCAUUGCUCCUUGCAGUAUCAGGCUUAGGCCUGCUUUUCCAAGGCUUUUUACCUCUUGGAGCAUUGAUGCUCGAGGCUUCUCUGGCCUUGGCAUUGAAUGCACCUUCCUGGUGGUCUUCAGCUCUGCUAGCUCUCCUUUGUUCCUGAGCAUAGAAAGUGUUGAUUAGCUCAGUCAAAGAGAUGGUAGCAAGGUCUCUUGAGUCCUCAAGAGAGGAUAUCUUGGCCUCAUAUCUCUCAGGCAAAGUGGAGAGAACUUUCUCUACUAUCCUUGCCUCAUCAAAGUGCUCACCAAGGAGCCUUAUACUGUUAACCACUGCCAUGAUUCUAUCUGCAUACUGCUUCACUGUUUCUUCUUCCUUCAUCUUCAGGUUCUCAAAAUCCCUUCUCAAAUUCAAUAGCUGUUGUUGCCUUGUUCUCUCAGUGCCUUGAAACUCCUCCUUAAGCUUAUCCCAUGCCUGUUUUGGAGUCUCACAGGCCAUAAUUCUGGUGAAGAUGACAUUUGACACACAAUUCUGAAUGCAGGACAUGGCUUUGUGCCUUUUGGUCCUCUCAUCAGCAUGUUGCCUAAUCUGAGCUACUGUGGGAUUGGCCCUCAGUGGUGCUGGCUCAGCAUCUGUGUUGACAACUUCCCACAGAUCAAAGGCCUGUAGGUAAGUCUUCAUCUUGACCAGCCAUAUGUGAAAGCCUUCUCCAUUGAAGACUAGUGGGGCUGCUGGUGAAAAACUUGAGGAAGACAUUCAGCUUUCUUAGUUUGAUAAAACAGGUCCACUAAGAAUGAAGCUCUAGAUACCAAUUGUUGGUGCAAAUAGACAACAACAGACUGUUUUCAAUCUUGCUUGUAUAGCAAGCCUCGAGCCUUGCUGAAGAAACAAACUCAGAAGCAAGAACAGAAACACAUGCGAAUGAAAAACAAAAGAAAUUGAGAGAGAGAGUAUUUUGAAUGAAAAGAGCUGAUAUUUCAUUAACAAAUCCAGAAGGCAUAAUGCCAUUACAUAUAAUAGAUAACAACAACAAAAUGAACAAGUCUUUACCUAAUGACAUACCUAACACCACUAAAUUUACAUUGGAAAUUGUUAAUCAGCUUGCUUAAGUUUCUUUGCUGAUUUUUUCAGUCAAUCAAUCAACAAAAAACAUCAUAAGGUUUACCAACUUAGUUCAACAUGAACUAGAUUACAAAAUAAUAAUUAAAAAUACAAUCAAAACAUAACAAGUAGUUAGGCAACUUUAAGCUCCAGUUUCUGCACUUCAUAGCUCGACUGCUUGCUGCCACUUCUCCUUGCAUGGCCACCUUUGCAUGUCUUGCAUGGGAACUAAAUUCAACAAAACUCCUUCUGCCACUCGAAACAAUGACCAUUCCAAACAUUUUGAUAGACAAUACACAAUUUGCUUCACUACUUACUCACAUAGCCAAAAAAUAUCCAAUGAAACUGGCAAAGGGUUCUUCCAAAAUGGUACAUUAGCUGCCAAAAAGACAACCACCAUAUAUUCCUUCAUUCAGUAAACAGCUUCAAUAUGGAAAUAAGUUAUUAUCUUAAAAAUGCUUUUUCUACCACAGAAGAAUAAGAACUAGGCAUCUCAGAAAAUUUGCUAAAUUAAUGACUUUGCUCCCUUCAAAAUAAACAAAUGAUUAACUGCAUUAUCCCAAAGAGGUCACCAUCAACCUCCAGUUGAACUUUCAAGGAAUAAUAAUAAAAAAUAGAAGGAAAUAAGGGGGAAAAAACCCAACCAGAACUCAGUAAUAGCUGAGCCUUGAAGAUCUGUAGGUAGUAAGAGAAAAACCCCAUGACGACUAAAGUCCAGGCUUGAAAGAACCAAAAGGGAGCAACAUAUGACUAUGAUUCACUGGACCAAGAGAAUCACCAAUGAAUAAAGGAAAAAGGGUACUUUCCUUUAUACCUAAACAUACAAUAUUUAGCCUCAAAAUGGGAAAAUUUCAGGUUUUCACAAAGGGUUUAAGAAAGAGGGUGAAAGUUAAAGAACUUGUCUUUGUUUUGAUGUGUGGUACACGAGAUAGUGAAGGAAAAUAGAGGUGAGGAAAUAAGAUGGAGUAAGUGCCUAAGUGGUGAAAAAGGAGAGCCUAAAAGAGACAUUUUUGAAGGGUAGUUUAGAAGCUGCAGAGGCUUUGGCAUACAGCAGCUGAUAAUGAGAGAAGACAAACCAGAAAUGUAAGUACGACGACGAUAAAAAUUAAAAAAUUUUAAGAAUUAAUGAAAUAAAAUUUUGUAGCUUAGCGAAUUGGGACGAAGUCCACCAGUGUGAUGCCCAUAGAUCCAUACCUGGGAUUUUUCUAUUUGGGCUAACUUUCUAACUUCUCCCACCAGUCUUAAAACUUUGCAGAUUUUUUCAAUUUGAUCUGGAUUGUAUGAUAACAUAUCACUUUGAGAUUGGAAAAAAAAUUAUUUUUUUUAAAUUAGAGAAAAAAUAAAGAAACUAAAUUUCAAGCAUGCAAAGUACAAAAGAAAGAACUGUAUUAAUAAAAGAUGAGUUACUUCACUCAGAUUGGAGUACCCUUUAAACAAGUUUAUUCUUGUAGAGAAAGAAACUGGAUUUUGAUUUCAUUUGCUGUGGCAAAAUUUUUAAUUUCAACAACAGUAUAACAUAUUGAAAGCCUGCCUACAUCUCGGCAGAAAAAUUUACAAAUUCUUUCAUCAGACAAUUUAAAUGAUGCAAUGCAAAGAUUCAUCAAUGUAUGAUCUUUUUAUCAUAAAUGGCUGUUUUACUGGAAAACUUGAUAUGUACUGUCUUUCACAUUCUUUUGUGCUGAAUGGUCUCUGAAAACUGCAAUCAUCAACUAUAGAUAACCCAUUCCUCAGCGCCGCCAGAGCCGACCUUGUUGUUUCUGUUCUUGAACUUGCCUGUGUCAUCAAAGGCAGUGAGCAUUUAUCAAUGUUAUAAAAAUGGCAUAUCGAAGUCAGAUUUUACUUGACAAUACACAAAUGUAAGAAGAUAAUUCACCUUUGAUACUCUUUAGAACGCUCGAGAAACUCUUUCGCGAUGUCUUUUCUUUAAUAUGAUUGCAAUACUUGUCUGAUAUCAGCCGGACCAUUGUGUUAGUACAAAACUCCGGUAAGGAAAAAAACUCGAACACACGAUCGGAACUCGAAAAGAAAAAGAAGAAAUAGGACAGGCUCCAAGGCGUGUAUCAAGCCACUAUCUUUAAGGUUAUAUUCGCCCCCACUUAUCUUCAGUGUGCAAACGAGUUCCAAGCAAAUUAACCUCGAGGAUACAAUGAAGCCAAUGACUAUUUGCGUUUUGCACUGACGAGAAUAGUCCACUAUACACUAAGUAAUGUAUAACAAAAACUCAAUUUCUACAAAGGAUUUCUGCAGCAAUACUUUAUAGAAUAAUCUAAUAAUAUUAGAAAAUGAAGGAAGAGAAGAAAUAAUAUUAGAAUUUGUUGAUAUGAUUUCCAAAUGAAAUCCCAUUCCUAUUUAUAGGAAUUUUCAUGUCUCUUCAUAGAGACAUCUUUCAAUAGGUGUCUUUAUGAAUAAAUAAAUAAUAAUAAUUAUUCAUUUAAUUUUGUAACUAUUCAAAUAAUAUUUUUUGAAUAGUUAUAAUUCUUUUUUAAAAAAUCAAAUGAUAUAACUUUUGACCAAUGACCAAAAGUUUUAUCUUUUGAUUAAUUACACCCAUUCAUUUAUAGUUAUUGGGAUACUAUAAAUAUUUGAAAAUAUUCCAACAAUCUCCCCCCAUUUUCAAAAUAUUUAGAUUUUGAUAUUCUUGGAAAUCAAUUUGCAUAAAUAAAGGUGUCUUACGAUUGAACCUUCACUUAGUGAAAACAUGUUAAAGUUAAUCGAAAUUGUAUGGUAGACUAAGCUUUGAACCAACUAUUCCAUUUGAUUAAUUGAACACAUCUCACACAAUGAUUUCAACAUCAGUCAAUGCAUAGUAUCUAGGGACACUAUUAUAGCCAUGUGUCUAUGUCCUCUUUUCAUGAGUGCUGUCAGAGCCAAGCCCUUAAGCUCCUAGAAGCGGCCACACUUCCACUCACAUAGGUAGAUCCCAUCAAAAGUGUUCCCGUAAUUAUAACACUCUAACAUAUUUAUGUUAUGGGUCCAUUAAGAGUAAAUUACUCAUCCUUCCCUUAUCAUUACGGGUACCUAGCACUUUAAUCUUAGGAUGGAUUUAUUUAUAGUGCUAACAGUCACAUACUAAUGAUGUACUUUGUCUCAUUGAACUCAAGACUUGACGUUAUACCAAGCAUUGAGUCGAGUUUCCAUCAUGGGUGACUCUAAUUAAUAGGCUUGAGUCCCAUCCCUUUUGAGGUCCUUUUUACUGCAUCUCUAGCAAGACUUUUUGUCAAAGGAUCUGCCAAAUUUUCACUUGACCUCACAUAAUUAAUAGUGAUCACUCCAUCAGAGAUUAAUUGUCGGACAUAACUAUGUCUUAAUCCAAUGUGUCUAGACUUUCCAUUAUAUACUUGGCUAUAUGCCUUUGCUAGAGUAGCCUCACUAUCACAACGGAUAGAAAUAGGUGAAAUUGGCUUAAGCCAUAAACGUACAUCAUAAAGCAAAUUUCUUAACCAUUCUGCUUCUUUAGAUGCAGCGGCUAAUGCAAUAAAUUCUGCUGCCAUGGUGGAAUCAGUAAUACAUGUUUGUUUCUUGGAACCCUAAGAAAUGACUCCUCCACCAAGAAUGAAGAUCCACCCACUAGUAGAUGCAUGAUCUUCCAAACUUGUAAUCCAACUAGCAUCCGAAUACCCUUCUAAAACUGGAGGAUAUCCAUUAUAACACAAUCCAUAGUUAAUAGUUUUCUUUAAGUACCUAAGUACUCUAUUUAAAGCUUGCCAAUGCAAACUACUUGGAUUAUUUGUGUAUCUACUCAAUUUUCCAAUAGCAUAUGCAAUAUCUGGUCUUGUACAAGUCAUUAUGUACAUAAGAAAACCAAUUGACUUGCAUAUUUCAAUUGAUCAAUUUUCCUACCAGCAUUAGAUACUAAUUUUAAUUGAGGAUCCAUGGGUGUAGAUACUGGUAUACAGUUGAAAAUAUCAAACUUUUUAAGCACAUUUUCAAUGUAAUGUGAUUGUGAUAAAGCUAUAGUGCUUUCAUCUCGGGUUAUUUUAAUCCCAAGAAUAACAUCUUCUACACCCAUAUCCUUCAUAGCAAAGUUGUUUGACAAGAAUUUCUUUGUGUUUUCUAUUUGUUCCAAAUCCGUGCCAAAAAUGAGCAUGUCAUCUACAUAUAAGCAAAUUAUAACACCCUUUCCAUUAUCAAAUUUACUAUAUAUGCACUUAUCGGAUUCAUUUAUUUAUAGCCAUUAGCUAAAACAACCUUGUCAAACUUUUGGUGCCAUUGUUUUGGUGCUUGUUUAAGCCCAUAUAAAGAUUUAACAAGCUUACAUACCUUAUGCUCUUGUCCUGGAACAACAAAUCCUUCCGGUUGCUCCAUGUACACUUCCUCUUCCAAUUCACCAUUUAAAAAUGCAGUUUUAACAUCCAUUUGGUGAACAACCAAAUUAUAUAUAGAGGUAAGUGAUAUUAAUAGUCUAAUUGUAGCAAUUCUUGCUACUGGAGCAUAGGUAUCAAAGUAAUCAAUACCUUGUCUUUGUGUAAAACCUUUUGCUACCAACCUUGCUUUAAAUUUAUCAAUGGUUCCAUCGACCUUCAUUUUCUUUUUGAAGAUCCAUUUACAACCUAUUGGUUUGGAACCUGGUGGAAGAUCAACUAAGAUCCAAGUUUGAUUUCCCAUUAUUGAAUCCAUUUCAUCAUUUAUUGCUUCUUUCCAAAAAGUAGAGUCUUGAGAUUUCACUGCUUCUUCAAAUGUAACAGGAUCAGAUUCGGUAUUAUAACAAUAAGGUAUCUUAUUGCAUAUACUUUCACCUUUUCCUUCUAUAAGAAACAUAAUGAAAUCUGGUCAAAAAUCUUUGACCUUUUUAAUCCUCUUACUUCUUCUUAAUUCUUGACAAGAUUCAUCAUUAUUAUCAAUUUGUUUCAAUGGAAUCUCAUUCUCAUUUGAAGAAUGAAUCAAUUGUUGUGGUUGUAAUUGUCUUGAUAUAGAAUUAAAUCUAUUUUCAUCAAAAAUAGCAUCUCUUGAUUCAAUAACCGUAUUAAUUGAAAUUGAAUCAUUUGGUUCAAUUACUAUGAACCUAUAUGCCUUGCUAUUAUGUGCAUAACCUAUAAAUAUGCAUUCAAUUCCUCUUUCACCUAACUUUUUACGUUUAGGUGUUGGAACUUUUACAAUAGCUCUACAACCCCAAACCUUUAAAUAAUUAAGGUUUGGUUUCCUUUUCUUCCAUUGUUCAUAGAGGGUUAUUUUAGUUUCCUUAUUAGGAACUCUAUUCAAUAUAUGACAAGCUGUUAGAACAGCUUCUCCCCAAAAACCCUGUCCAAGACCUGAAUAUGAUAACAUUGAAUUUACCAUUUCAAUCAAGACUCUAUUUUUCCUUUCAGCUACACCAUUUUGUUGUGGUGUGUAAGGGGCUGAAACUUGAUGGACAAUUCCAGUGAGUUCAAAAUAACUUGGAUUAUAGUAUUCUCCACCUCUAUCCGAUCUUAAGCACUUGAUAAAUGAUUCACACUGAAGUUCAACUUCAGAUUUAUAAACUUUAAAUUUAUCAAGCGCUUCAUCUUUUGAAUGCAAUAAAUAUACAUAACAAUAUCUAGAACAAUCAUCAAUAAAAGUAACAAAAUAUUUCUUUCCACCUAAUGUAGGAGUAUUAUGCAAGUCACAUAAAUCACUAUGUAUCAAAUCAAGCAAUUUUGUUUUCCUUUUAACCUUAGGGAAAGGAUUUCUUGUAAUUUUAGUCAACAUACAGGUAUUGCAUUUUUCAAUAUUAUUAUUAAAAACAGGAAUUAAAUCUAAUUUAUACAUGUCAUUCAAUUUUCUAUAAUUCAAAUGACCUAAUCUAUAAUGCCACAAACAAAAUGAUUCAACCAUAUAAGCAGAAAUAGUAUUUUUAUUCUUAUUAAUAAUAUUAAGUUUGAACAUGCUUUCAUACAUAUACCCUUUUUCCCACAAAAAUUCCUCCCUUAGACAAAAUAAACUUAUCUGCCUCAAAAACAAGUUUGAAACCAAACUUAUUCAACAGACUUCCAGACACUAAAUUUUUCCUAACUUCUGGUACAUAAUAUACAUCAUUUAAGGUUAAAACCUUUCCAGAAGUGAAUUGUAGUUCAACAGACCCUUUGCCUUUAAUUUGCGGUGGAAGAAUUUCCCAUGUACAAGACAUUGUCAUUUUCACAUUGUGUGACUUUGUGAACAUGCUUUUGUCUUUGCACACAUGUUUGGUUGCUCCGGUAUCAAUCCACCAUGUAUUAUCAUCUUGUACCAUAUUAAUUUCAGAUAUCAUUGCAACGAACUUUUCGUUAUUAUCAGCCUUAGAAGAUGAUUUCUUCUUUAAAAAUCGAUAUUCAUUCUUGAAAUGUCCCGGCUUUCCACAAUGAUAGCAUGAGCCCUUUUGUUUCUUUUUGAACUUAGGUGCUCUAUCAGCCUGAUUGAACUUUCUUUUGAAUGGUUUAGUAGUCUGUACUUCCUCCGUAACAUGUACUUUGGCAUUUUCAGAAUUUAGGUUCUGAUCUUGUUGUCGAUACUCUUCUUCAAUACGAAGAUGAUUUGCCAAAGCCUCAAGAGAUAUUUCCUCUUUCUUAUGUUUUAGACUUCUUUUAAAGUCUUUCCAAGAUGGAGGAAGUUUGUCUAUUAUAGAGGAUACCACAAUUAUUUCAUCCAUUUUCAUAUCAUAUUGCUUAAAUUGAUUCAACAUCUUUUCAAUAUCACGAAAUUGUUCCAUAACAGAACGACCAUCAACCAUUUGAUAAUUAUUGAAACGACUGACAAGAAAUUUCUUACUUGUAACAUCUUCGGUCAUGUAUCUUGCCUCCAAUUUGUCCCAUAAAUCUUUAGCGGUGACGUCGUUUUGGUAGGUGUCGAACAAACCAUCAGAUAAACCAUUCAAUAUGUGGCCCAUGCACAUGUAAUCAGCAUUGUCCCAUUUUUGUCUUUCUCGGGUUGCAGCAAUAGAUUCGUUUUCAUUCUCUUCAGGUCUUGGAGUAUCCAAAACAUAAGCAAUCUUCAAAGUUGAUAACAAAAAGUGCAUCUUUUUCUGCCAUCGUCGAAAAUUGCCACCAUCAAAACGAUCAAGUUUAACAAAGUUGGAAGCCAACUCCCUUAGUGUUCCACUUUCAUGUGUUGUGGUAGUCAUCAUGAAAUAUAACCUUAAAAUUGUUAGUACAAAACUCCGGUAAGGAAAAAAACUCGAACACACGAUCGGAACUCGAAAAGAAAAAGAAGAAAUAGGACAGGCUCCAAGGCAUGUAUCAAGCCACUAUCUUUAAGGUUAUAUUCGCCCCCACUUAUCUUCAGUGUGCAAACGAGUUCCAAGCAAAUUAACCUCGAGGAUACAAUGAAGCCAAUGACUAUUUGCGUUUUGUACUGACGAGAAUAGUCCACUAUGCACUGAGUAAUGUAUAACAAAAACUCAAUUUCUACAAAGGAUUUCUGCAGCAAUACUUUAUAGAAUAAUCUAAUAAUAUUAGAAAAUGAAGGAAGAGAAGAAAUAGUAUUAGAAUUUGUUGAUAUGAUUUCCAAAUGAAAUCCCAUUCCUAUUUAUAGGAAUUUUCAUGUCUCUUCAUAGAGACAUCUUUCAAUAGGUGUCUUUAUGAAUAAAUAAAUAAUAAUAAUUAUUCAUUUAAUUUUGUAACUAUUCAAAUAAUAUUUUUUGAAUAGUUAUAAUUCUUUUUUAAAAAAUCAAAUGAUAUAACUUUUGACCAAUGACCAAAAGUUUUAUCUUUUGAUUAAUUACACCCAUUCAUUUAUAGUUAUUGGGAUACUAUAAAUAUUUGAAAAUAUUCCAACACAUUGCGGGCUACAUCUGUGAACAAAUCAAAACAAAUGGUACUAUAAUCAACAAAUGAAUAUAGGAAACAUAAAAUUUGAACAAAGGCGAUGUGCAGAGGAAAAAGCAACAACAUAAGACUUACAUUCAAGAAAUGGAAUAAGGUCUAAAAGUGCGGUAUCAUCAGUCUCGACCUUAUAUGGCUUAAUAUGGACACAAUUUUCUGGUUGAAGGCUAGAAUCAAAUGCAUGAGCACUCACAUAUAAAAUCUUGGUUGGAUCCCUGUUUAGCUUUGAAAGAUCCUGCCAACAGGAACUAUUUGUUAACAAUAAGGCUUCUUUUUAAGUAGCAGCUUGUAAAGGCACUGUCUCAUAUAUUAAUUCACAUAGUAUUGUAGAAACUAAGGAGGAGAAAACCAAAAGCAAAAUGUUUUGAAGGGAAGAGAUUGACUAUGACAUGGUAAAAGUAUCAUGGAGGCCCCUAUGUUAGGAGUUAGAUUGCCUUUUGCCCCCUUUACUCAAAAACUGGAUAAAUUAGUCCCUAUAUGUUAGAUUAAAGAGUAAGCUAGACUUUCUGUUAAAAAUUUCAUCCAUUGCUACUGUUAAAAACUGGUGCAGUUGAUAAAAUAACCAAACAGUUACACAUAAUGUGUCACGUGUACCUCAUGCUAAUGUAUAUGGACCAAUUUUUAACAGUAGAAAUGGAUGGAACUUGUAACAGAAGGGCUGGUUUGCUUUUUAAUCUAAUUUACAGGGAUUAAUUUGCCCAUUUUUUUAGUAAAGGGGUGAAAUGCAAUAUGACUCCUAGUAUAAGGGCCUCCAUGGUACUUUUACCACUAUGACAUACUCUAUAAUGCUUGCCAUCCUGAUAUUUAGUAGCACCCCUUGAUAGCCUAUAUCGUAUACAAUGGUUAGUGUCCAACCUUUCACAAGCAGGAUCAACAUACCGCAUAGCCAAAAACAAAAUAAUUAUGAACUUGCAGGCAACAUCAGUUAUAGUAUAUCUGAAAAAGAUAAGGAAAAAAAACUGUUACUUUCAUAUCUAAUUUCUUUAUAGUAUUAGGACAAACUAAACAAUGGAUAUAUCACAUUAUUAAGACUUAGCUAAGGAGCCGCUGAUAUACAUUCAAAUGAUCAAUCAUAAAGGAUGAACUAGGAGGCCUAAUGAUAAAUCAAAAUUACACCUAAACCAGUUAUAUGUCUAAAGGCAAUUGCACAUUAUAUCAAUCAAACAACUAAAAUAAAUAGAGAAAAUCCUUUAAAAUAUUCAAUUUCUAAACAAAAUCAAACUCACAUCAAUAGCAGAUCUUGACAAAGAAACCCAAAAUCACAAAUGAUCCUAUCUUUUUAAAAGGGGAAAAAGAAAACUUACUAUAAGAGAGAUAACCAGCAUAGCCAGUAGUUCCAGUAACACCUGCAAUGAGUCCGUACUUGACAAAGCUCUAAAUUUUCCCUCCCGAAACCUGUGGGGCAACUUUCGGCGCCAGAGGAGGAGGUGUCGACUGAUCGGAGAGAAUGGAUUGUGAAGAACAAUCCAAACUUAAUUUACAAGCAAUGUGGAAAUUUUGGACGUUGCAGUAUUGACUACGUUUACUUGAGGGAAAACAAAGACAUGAAUGCUGGAAAUUUUAACUAGUUUGUACGGUCAAUGAAGCUACCUCGAAUGUUAAAUAUGUUACUCUGCAAUGCCAUUGUAAAUAUGACUGUUAAAUUUGUUGAUAGCGGAAUUGUUCCACUCAAGUUAUUGUGGGACAAAUCAAGAAUUUGAAGAAAAGUGACAUUGCAUGUUAAACAAGAGACCUCUCCAUUGAAACUAUUAUUUGAGAUCAGAAAGACAUUGAUUGUCGAAGCUGGAAUCGGAAGAUUUCCACGGAUCAAAUAGGAGCUUAAGUCAAGAACUACAAUAUUCUUCCAUGGAAAGUGCAAAACUUCUGUCAAAGAGUUGCUGUAAUUGGAUUAAUCUCAUCGUUGCUGCAAUCUUUUGACAAAUCGAAUCUUAAAUAUGUUACUCUGCAACGCUAUUGUAAAUGUUACUCUUAAAUAUUACUCUGUAACUAGAUUGAUGGCUCAAUCUUGUUUUUAACAUUGUUAUGGGUAUUACUACUUUCAUGCUUUGAUACGCGAUACCCUCUUUCUAGGUGACAUUUUUGCUCCUUCCGGGCCACCAUGGGCUCUCUGCAUCACUCACCAACCUCAUUAGAUUCCCCGGGUGCCAUUUGGCCAUCUCAAGUCUCAAAAUAGCAUCAAAAUGCACUCUAAUAAUUUAUUAAUAUAAAGAACUAAAACAAAAUAAAAACACAACAAAGAUAUCUAAAUUGCACGAAAAUAAGCUUUUAAGUGUGAUGGAGAGUCUAAUUUGACAUAUCAAUUAAUGUUUGACUAUCUCCAUCUCACUUUUUAUUAAUUAAGGAAUAUGAAUUAGAAUUAAUAUAAACUUACUAUUUUAACAUUUCAUAAGCAAAAGCUAAAAUAAUAUUGGUCACAUCCCAUAUCUUCAUAUAUAGCUUAUCAGACAAAAGUUAAAACAGCCUUCAGUUCAUCUACAUUCUACAUUCCACGUCGAAUCUGCAAGCAUCAAAUAUUAACCUUUGAACUCCAAAAUAACAACACCAAUUUCCAGCAAUUGCAGAAGAAUGUCCAAUAAUUCCACACAAAUUAACAACAAUUUGCCAGCAUCCACUACAUUCGUAUGAAUUCCACACAAAUUAAGACUGGAAACUCUAACUUGUUCAUACCCUCAAUGAAGCUACCUAAAAGUUAUGAAUUCCACUGCAAAUUUUGUAUUGCUUGGAAUGAAUUGACUGUAAUUUCCUAUUACUUGCCACAAAAUUUUCUUUUACUGCUAACUUGUAAAAAAAUUAUGAAAAUACAACAGAGAUCAUUGAGACAUUUUGUUCUCCUUUCUCCUUUACUGAGCAGUAGCAAAGAUUAUCGAGACUAAAUUGAAAGUCAUGAAAGAAGACAUAAACAACACCACCAUACAAAAUGUUACACUCAAACAAACCAUUACAGAUAGUACGAAAUGCAAUGAAAGACACAGGAAUUGGUACAACAAUAAAGACAGACACAUACCAAUGCAACCCUUCACCAUAGGCAAAACGGUCUACAGAAUAAGAAAUUAUGAAAAUACAACACUAAUUCUUGAACAUCAUUUCCAGUAAUUAGAUCCUUCUUCGUCUAUUGCUUCGAUUGCCUUUCUUUGACUUUCUUCUUCGCCUCAUCUCUUGUUGGUUUUCAACCAAAUUCACCAACCAUUUCGGCUUACCAAUUUGGAAAACAACAUAUCCCACGGACAUUCCGAACACCACUCUGCAUCCAUAACCUAUCAACACCACUUUCCAACCAAAAGCAAUGUUUGAUUUUGAGCCAUCUUUUUCAAGCGCAUUUGGAGGUGCUGGCUCAAUGAUGUUGCAACCUUUCGAGACCGGAAACCCACACAGUCCAUUAUUCCCUUCAUAUGAAUCAUUUCCAAAUGUGUUGAAUUGUUUUCCUUGAGGAAUCUGACCAUGGAGUUGAUUUUCAGCGACAUUGAAGGACGAAAGAAAUGGCAGAUCUGCCAAUCUAUUUGGAAUCGUCCCAGACAACCUGUUUGAAGAUAGGUCCAACCAUUCAAUACUUGUCAAAUUCCCUAUUGAUGUGGGAUACCACCAUUAAGGUUAUUAUGAGAAAGGUUGAGCCCUUUCAGUAAGUUAAGCUUCCCAAAAACCUUUGGAAUACCCCCUUCAAACUGAUUGUUUGAUAGAUCAAUGAUCAUCCACAUGGUGAAAAUUUUCACCAAUUCCAUAUAUUGUCCUUUCAUAACAGUUCCGAUGGAAUAGGUAUAGAAGCCAUUACCUCUCGGAACAUACAUCCCCAUGUACGACAUUGUACUCCCAAUCUUCUCUAGAUUUAUGAUACCCUUGAAGCUGUUGAUGUAUCUCACUGGUAGGGGUCCAGAAAAAUAAUUACUUGAGAGAAAAAAAAUUUGGAUUUUAGAGAAAAAAGGGCUAGACUUGGAGCUAUUGUCACAUAAGGAACCAUGCAUAUGAUUUGACUUCAAUACAAGAACUUGUAGCUGUGGAAGACUUCCCAACCAAUGAGGAAAUGUAUCAUUGAUCUUGUUCUUCUUCAGAUUCAAGAAUUGAAGGCUGUAGCUCAAAUUUUCAAAACAUUGCGGAAUUGUUCCGCUCAAGUUAUUGUGGGACAAAUCACGAAUUUGAAGAAAAGUGACAUUGCAUAUUAAAGAAGAGACCUCUCCAUUGAAACUAUUAUUUGAGAUCAGAAAGACAUUGAUCGUCGAAGCUGGAAUGGGAAGAUUUCCACGGAUCAAAUUGGAGCUUAAGUCAAGAACUGCAAUAUUCUUCCAUGGAAAGUGCUCAACUUCUGUCAAAGAGUUGUGAGAUACAUUUAAGUCAAAGAGCCAUUGCCCACCUCUUGCAUCCACUGUGGAAUCUUGCCUUCAAUUUUGUUGCAAGAGAGGUCCAAGCUUUCCAAACUUUUAAGCCCUUAUAAAAACUGGGGGAAUUCACUAAGAUUGAAAGAUGACAAACGUAAGUCUAUAAGAUUAGACAAUAUAUGGUUAACACAAGAAGUAGUAUUAAAUGUUAAGGAUAGGCUGUUAUAUGAAAGGUCGAGAAGUUUUAGAGUUGGAAGGUUUGAGAACAUGCGAAACUCUAUGACACCACUAAGAUUAUUUGAGGAUAAAAGGAGGUGGGUAAGAUUGAGAAGUUGGAAUAUUGAAGAUGGAAGAGGACCUUGGAGUUUAUUAUUGUUUAACCUUAUCAAUUCUAGUGUUUUG
This 65959-nucleotide long non-coding RNA is filed under the name Gossypium barbadense (sea-island cotton). RNAcentral describes it as "long non-coding RNA (GBAR_LNC016778)". The stretch from base 61758 to 61902 matches the Rfam family "MIR7502 microRNA precursor family". The record is from RNAcentral. Lineage: Eukaryota; Viridiplantae; Streptophyta; Magnoliopsida; Malvales; Malvaceae.